AAUUAUUAAGUGUUGAAAAUCAAAUCCAGUGGCAAGGCAAUACGCAAACUUUUUACUGUUUUUGGCACAGCGAUGGAGUUUUAGAAAUUGAACCCCAACCCCAACCCCAACCCUCAAUGAGGAGAGAGACAGAGAGACAGAGAGACAUUUCUCCAUUUGGUGGACCUUGUAAAUAUUUAAUGUUCUCCUCCAACCCAAGUGACCUAACCCACCUCAAAUUCCAUGUUCUAUUUAUUGCACCCAAAACAAAAAACAAAAAAACCAAUUUAUUGAAUUCAAACCCCACAAAUAUGAAAUCACAUCAUGUUCAUGCAUAAAUGACAAAUUAAGGGAAAAAUUAUCAAACACCUUUGAAAUAGUGAAAAACAAAGUGUGUAUAUAAAAUGGUGUCCAAUUUGCCGAAAUCUACCCAAAUUUGUGUGUUUUAUUUUUAUUUUUGGGGUGCAACACACAGAACAAACAUGAUCCAAAGUUUUUAUAAAAAAUUCUAAUGAAAUAAAAACAAGAAAAAAAAUAAUGAAUGUAGAUCAGAAGAGAAAGAAAAAAGAGUAGAAAACAAGUACUACUUACACAUGCGCUGGAAUUUUUCUUUAAGCUCAGCUUUGUGCUCACUGUUGGUGAUACGAAAGUAGUAGUCAGGGUAGGUGGCCUGAUCAACACAAUUGGGAGGAGUUGCUGUCCCAAUGGCCAACACAGUGGCAGGACCCUCAGCCCUUUGAGCCUUGCGAACUUCCUCCACGGUCACCAUUUUCAACUGAUCAACUCAAACAAAAGAUAUAUCAGAGAGAGAGAGAGAGAGAGAGAGAGGUUGUAUAAUUGUUGCAGACGCAGUGGAGAGAGAGAGAGAGAGGGAGGGAGGGUGUGACAAAAGGCUGAGACAAAUGGUUGUAUUUAUAUAAUGAGGAGGAAAAGAAGGAAAAGAGGCCUGAAGAGAGAAGAGGGUAGCUGAGAAUCACGUGCUUGACCAAUGCCUCAGUGGAAGCACCCUCCUCAACCAACCUUAAGCCUUUUAGUUUUUAGAGUUUAGAGAGCCGGCUGGCACGUGUGUGUCUUCUGAGUUUGGCGUGGCUGCUUUGCCCAUCAAACAUUCGCAUCACCAACAUGUGAAAUCUAUUUCUAUCUUACGUACUAUCACUUUGAAGCUGACAAGAAAUUAAGUAGCUAGGCAUGAAAAAUGUAUGGUUGAGGCCAUGCGACUAAGUGGAUCAUGGAAGCCAUCAAAGCCAUAAGUGAGAAUAUUGAAUUGGUCUUCGCCCACAUUACAUGAAAAAUACAUAUAUCUAUAACACGUUACAGCAUUGAAACUAUUUGAGACAAAACGUCAUCCAUGAUGAAUGAAAUAGGGCUUUUAAAUUUUGGCGUUUUCAAUAGUUACGUUGAGAAUAAUAACUGAUUCAAAAUUAGUAAUAAAGUCACGCUGAUAAAACGAUAUAGGACAAUAAUGAACAACUUUCUCAAAUUUAUUGGAAACAAUCAAUAUGUGAAUAUAUGAUAACAUAAAUUAUAAAUCAGAUACUCAACUUUAUAAUAACAAAAGUAAUUAACAAUUCAAUUCAUAGAAUCAAAGUAAAUGAAUGAGUUUAAAUAACUCACUUCAAGUAUGAUAGAGGUUUGCAUAUGCAAUGUCCAAUAUUCGCACACAGAAAUUCACUCCUUACAUAUGUAUUUUGUAGUUCUUUAGGCAUCUAUCUCCAAGGUACAACUAUCAAUAUUCAAAGUUCAGACAAUUAAACUUUGAAUUCUGGCGAACUAUAUAUGCUUUCUCACUCAAUGUGUUGAGUGAUUGUGAGUGAUCAAAAUUCCAUCCUUAUUGCAGAUUUUGGCUAAAUGCAUCACUUUGAAACAAGUUCGAACGAAUUUGUUAUUUAAUGGGAUAUCAAUAUGCCACAAGUGUGAUAUAUUUGUAACUCAAAAUGCACGUGAAAAACCAUGUGCACAACAGUCCUUCUCUCCAUUAUCGGAAAGCGAAUGGAGUGGCUGACAAAUUUGCUCACUUUGCUUUGUCGUCUCAUGGAGGUUCUGUGUUGUAUGAAUGGAUGGGAGCACCUCCUGGGUGGCUUCUUGAUACUCUAGUGCAGGAUUCUCUAUUAACUGUAUUUCAGUUUUAAUUUUCUAUAUGGGUGUGUGUGGUACUCUUUUUUACUCUAGGGUUUUGUCCCACGUGGUUUUCUCCGUGAAGGUUUUAAUGAGGUCACUCUAUACACAGUGGGGCUUUGUAAUCAUUUUCUCUAUUCAAUGAAUGAAAUCCAUUGCUUGCUGCAAAAAUAAAAAAAGGGGGCACUUGAAAUGUUAGGUUAUAAGUAUCUACAUCGCAACUUCCUUGUCCUAAUUUGAGGAACCUCCAUAUUUUAUUUAUCAUGUACUUUUUGUGGAUUUUAAUAGUUAAUAGAUGUGGGGUUAAGUGGGCCACUUUAACUUUGGGGGAGUUGAGGGGUAAAUUCAUAUUUGACAGAAAUUUCAGAGGGUACUUUAUUUAUUUAUUUUUUUGAGAUAGAGGGAUGAAAAUUUUGUUGAAAGAAAGAGAGAACUAUGUACAAAAUGACUAUAAUUGAAGACAGAGAAUUAUAUAAGUAUCUCUAUACAUCUGUAUACAUAAGGGAGAGGUCAUCGGACUAAGGAGCUUCCACUAUAGUAGCAAUUAGAGGGAUGCUAACGUGGUAGGAUCAUUAUGGCAAAUGCACAAACGAUGACUAAUUGCUAUGCAUAGUCAGCAUCCUACGUGGAAAAAUGGACCGGAAAUGCACUUAAAAUCGAAAUCUAAGCUUCUUAGUUCGUAGAUUUGGCCAAAAGAAGAAGCUUCUCAGUCGAAAGAAUUUGGAGAUUAGGAUUUGGAGUGUAUAAUUGAAGAGAGAGAGAGAGAUAUAUAUAUAUAUAUAUUCAAAAAUAUGAGAAUGAAAGAAUAUUGUAGAAAAAUAAGAAGAAUCGAAAUCUUGCAAGAAGCACGAAUAUUAAAGAGGACAAUGACGGUGCCUAGAAAGAAAUGAGGUUCUCAACCUGAGUACGGUAAAUGGCCCUUCUCUUCUGAAAUGGAAUCGAUGAAGGUGAGAGAUUUAUAGAGUGUGGUCCAUGUUUAAGCUUCUUUAUUGUCUGCUUUCUUUGUUGAGUCGGGUCCAAAGACGUUGAGUUUGAAAAGUCUAGAAUUAAAAAUUGUUGUGGUCUCCUAUGUCUUGCUAUUAUUUUUCAUGUUUACUUGUUUUAAAGGUUCUUUUAGUGCUUGAUGUCUGUUUAUUAGUAAUUUGGUGAUUGUGUUGCCUUUUUAAAAAUGUAUAUAUGACUAGGCAGUGGUUAAAGUGUGUUUUUUUAUAUUUUGUUGUGCAUAUGACAAAGGAUAGUCACAUUUGAAGUACACCAUAAAGGUAGAAUGGCAAAGUCCCCAAACCUUAAUGAGUGGUGGUUUUAUGUGGGGGGUUUGUUGAUUAUUUGGAUUGGUGUCUUCUGGACUACAUAAAUUUGUUAGAGAUAUACGAGUAUGCAAAAGAGCUUGGCUACCAUGACUAAGUGGUUUUGACAAGGAUACAAAAUGGUAAGGAAGUGUGUAUAUAUAACGAUGCUCAACUACUUGAAUGGUGUCAUUUGGUGUCUCCUAGCUUUGAAAGAGUGAUUAUAAUUUACUUGGAACACCCAACUGUUAUUAAUGUGGAUGAAACUAUAGUGGCUUGAAAAGAGAUGGAACAUAUUGUAAGAAACCUAACUGCUGAAUUUGAGAAUGAAGAUGAGGGUGAUGAACAAUCUGGUUAUGAUGGUAUGUACGAGGAGGAUUGAGGAUGAUGAGGAUGAUGAAGAGGCUAUAAACAUAGCAAUCCACAAUUUCUUCUCUCUUGCUCUCACAUGCCCAAUCUAAUCUUCAACUUCUCUCAUUGUCCUCAGCAACCAAGCCAUCAAAGCUCUCUCACGGGGAGGCAUUUCAAUAUCAACCCAUACAAAAAAAACCCACAACCAUUUUUUCCGCUCUGCAUUCAAACAAAAAUUCCAUCAUAUUCUCACAAUUUAUUAUCCAAAUUUCUAUAAAAUAGCAAGUCCAAAACCUACCUCUGACUUUGGACACACAAAGAAAUUCCAAAGUGGGUUGGACUCUGUCCAAGAAGUCUGCAUCCGAGCAAGCCUCCCACAGUAGCAAUGAGGUGCAACAAUGACCAGCUCUUCUCCUCGUCGAGGUUCGUGCCUCAUCUUCACACCCUUUAAAGUAAGAAAAUUGGAGAAAUUUUUCUGUCAAUAUAGAACCUUCAAUCCUUGAAAUGGUGGUAAGUAAAUUUUUUUUUUUUCUAGGUUCAAAAACCUUUUUAUCGAAGAAUAAGAGAGCAUAUUGUUAAUUGAGGUCCACUUGACCCCUUGAGCUGCUAAGAUUUCAAUUUAAAAAUCAUGUGGGGUCCAUUUUGCCACGUAGGAUGCUGAUUAUGCUCAUCAAUUGGCCACCGUGUGUGCUUUUACCAUAAUGACCCUGUCACGUCAGUAGUUUUGACAGUCUUUUGGAUGACGUUAAUGGUGAGAGAUAAAGUAUAACACAAAACCACAAUAAAAGGGGUUAAGUGGACCACUUUAACUUUGGAAAGUAAAAUAAGAUUUGAUCGAAAUUUCAAGGGAUAAUAGAAUAAAGAAACUUAAAAAAUGGCAUGUUUAUAUUAAGAGAGAUAAACUUUUUUGUUAGUUUUGAGAGUCAACCGUUAUUUUUAUUUUUUCUUGUUGUGUAUCCGAUGGUUACGAUAUGUUUUUGAAAAAGGGUGUGAGCAAUAAUUUGGGCGGGGAGGUGGGCGAGUGAAACAGUAGUUGGAUGAUUGCAUGACCCCAAAUAAUUAAAUUAUGAAAGAAAGAUUAAGAAGUGUGGUAGUUUGGGAUUCCCUCGCAGACCGGCGUUAGUUGAGGACAAACAUAAAGCUUAUGUUUAUUUUUGUUCUUCAUUAUUCCACUUGUGACUUUUAUAUAAAAUUAAUGAAUCAAUCAAUCCAGUCCAGCUAAUUACUUGGAUUGGAUUUGUCCUAGAACAACAACUGUAGAUAUGUUUUCAAUGUGAGACACGAGAAUUUCAAUCGUUUCAUUCUCUUUUAUUUAUGUGGUUAUAAUUUGAAACUGUUUACCUUCUAAGAUAAUUUUUGUAAAUAAAAAAAUUGUAUAGUCGUCAGUAAAACAUACAUAACAUGUGCAAUAGAAGCAAGCAAACACAUAACAUGUGCAAUGCAAGCAAACACACGAUGAGCCACAUCAUUAUUAAUAAUAAUAUGGCCUCUUCCAAAUUAGACAUGACGUGGGCUUCUUCUCAAUUGCCUCCACACACAUGCCAAGCAUUCGUUCUCUGCAUUGAGUUCCAUCCUCUAGCUUCUAUACAGUACUGAGCUCUUUAUUUUCUCUGCCUUAAGGUGCCACACAUAAGGAUUUAGUACCAAUUUCAUAAGCCACUAUGAAAAAGAAAAUGGAGUCAAGUCGUUGUGGACAAUUACCUCCGCACAAAAGGCUACAAGUUUUGCAGAGGUGAGUUAAAACUGUCCGUCUAUUUACGCUCGAGUUUGAUUUCUUCUUUGUAAAUUAGACCACACUAUAACACUAAAGCAAUAAUUUAAAUGCUGAAUUGCCCCUGAAACUAUCACCUAAUUUUCGAUUUUCUAUGAACUUUUUCGCCAAUUUUCCCCCUACCCUCAAAUUUCCUAACAUUUCAUUCACUUCUCCAUCAAUAUUAGGUGAGAUGCGAAGAUUAAUAGUAUUUGUUUGUCUGCUCGUUUUUUAAUAACAUAAACUGUGGUCUCAAGCAUUGAAGAGUAGCUAAGCAAUUAUAAAAAUAUAUCUAGGGAAAAUCAUGGAAUAUAUAUAUUAAUUAUUCAUCAAUACAUGGUCCCCUUUGUCUUCAUGAACGUAGUAAACACAGCCAUUGUACCAAAGUUCACCCCAUGACGCCCACUUAGGUUUUAAAGAGGAGAAAAAUAAAAAAGAAGAAAAUAAAUCCGGAAAAACCAAAGAAGAAGUGGAGCCAAUACAUAUAGAAGAAAGCAUACGAAAUGAAUCAACAGUGACGAUGUUCACGGCUUCAAGCAUUCAAACCCACACUGUGAAGCACGACGGUUUCCACAGUGAGCCCAGGGCCAAACCCGAAUAGCACACCCCAAUCCAGCCCAUCUCCGGUGGUUUUUAGUCCUUUCUCGGCAGCCCUCUUCCUAACCUCAUCCAAAAUAAACAGCACACAAGCACUGGACAUGUUUCCGUACUCAGAUAGUAUGUGUCUUGUCGCCUCUAAUUUCUCAGGCUUCAGGGAUAAUUUGGACUCUACCUGGUCUAGAAUUGCUGGGCCACCUGGGUGUGCAAUCCAGAAUAGUGAGUUCCAAUCCGAGAUGCCCAAAGGUUGGAAGGCCUCGUUCAGACUCUUCUCGAUGUUCUUCGAAAUAAGCCCGGGAACAUCCUUGAGCAGAUGAAAUGUAAGCCCAACUUCACGGAGAUGUCCGUCGAUGGCUCCGUCACUGUCGGGAAGGAUGGUUUGGGCUGCUGACACCACUUCAAACAGGGGCUUCUCGAUCUCGGGAAUUGGGUCCGAACCCACAAUAAUAGCUGCUGCACCAUCACCAAAUAAGGCCUGGCCAACUAAACUGUCAAGGUGGGUGUCACUGGGCCCACGAAAGGUGACCGCUGUGAUCUCCGAGCACACAACGAGAACACGGGCACCCCUGUUGUUCUCGGCCAAGUCCUUGGCCAACCGGAGCACCGUGCCGCCGGCAAAACAUCCUUGUUGGUACAUCAUGAGGCGCUUGACGGAUGAGCGUAGGCCCAAGAGCUUGGUGAGCUGGUAGUCCGCCCCAGGCAUGUCCACACCACUGGUGGUGCAAAAGACCAAAUGGGUAAUUUUGGAUUUGGGCUGGCCCCAUUCCUUAAUGGCCUUGGUGGCAGCUUCUUUGCCGAGUUUUGGAAUUUCAACAACCACCAUGUCCUGCCGGGCGUCAAGGGAAGGUGCCAUGUACUCACACAUACUUGGGUUCUCUUUUAGAAUUUCUUCAGUCAAGUACAUGUAACGCUUCUUGAUCAUAGAUUUGUCACCUGAAAAAAGCAUAAACAGAAAAGUUACUUCACAGUAAUUCAAUGUUUCACUCCAUUUGUAGACAGAUAAAAAAAGGUCAAAAGAAAAGAUUGUUUGCCACUUUGAUGACUGAACAAAAUGAAUUCCCAUUUUGUUAUAUUCACAGAUAUGGAACUAUAUCAUGCAUAAAUAAGAACACCUUGCAAUAAGUGCAUAUAUAUAUAUAUAUGGUACUUACACAUGCGCUGGAAUUUUUCUUUGAGCUCAGUUUUGUGCUCACUGUUGGUGAUACGGAAGUAGUAGUCAGGGUAGGUGGCCUGAUCAACACAAUUGGGAGGAGUUGCAGUCCCAAUGGCCAAGACUGUGGCCGGACCCUCUGCCCGCUGAGCCUUGCGAACUUCCUCGACGGUCACCAUUUUCUCCGAUCGUCAAGAAAGGUCAAGGAGGCUAGGAGCUGGUUGUGGUGUGUUUACAGUUGUAAUGGUAAGUAAGUUUGAGAAAAUGUUAAGAGAAGCAGUUGUAUUUAUAUAAUAAGGUGAAGGAGAGGUAGCUAGGUAUCACGUGCCUGACCAAUUCCUGUGUUAGAAGGGCUUAACCACCAAAGGGCAGAAGGGCCUUGCUGGCACGUGCGUUUCUGUGUGGUGUGUGUUGCCUACUAAAAUCUGCAUGAUUUGGAAUGCGUGUGUUCUCUCGUCUUACCUAACAAACCAAAGGGCAGGACAUCUUUCAUAGUCCUAGACUCCUAGACUCCUAGCUAGUAGAAUUUCUUGUUUCUGAUCCGACGAGUAGGAUUGGUUUUGAUAAAGAUAAUAACAAUAAUUUAGGGGGUGUUACCGCGGUAGGUAGAGUGACACACACAAACAGCAUAGUUCCAUGAACCUAAAUUCAGAAAGAAAUAAUAAUAAUCAGAACAUCGUUUGAGGGCAUUAAUGAUCACACGGGUCAAUACAUACACAUGAAGUGAAGAUGAUGAUCGGGUUUGGGUAGUUUAGUUAGAGAAAAUAAAUAAAUCAAUCAAAACAAGCAGCCAAUCUAGACUGUCCUCUAACCAAACUAAUUAGGUGUAUAGAACAUGCCAGAUUAAUUAUUGGACUGGACAUGACACGAGUGAUGAGUGGGCUAAUAUCAUCUACCCAGUUAAUUUCUUUACCUUCUGUUUCAUCACCAAAUAUGCACCAUUAAUUUAUCUGGAUUUUGGGUCUUUUUGUUUAAAUCUAUUUGAAUUGGGUAAUGAUUUCCCCACUUCAAUUUUAUCCACUUACACUCCUUUUUUAGUUAUAAAAUGGAGUGUAAGUGGAUAAAAUUGGAGUGGGGAAAUCACCACUCUUUGAAUUUUGUCUUUUGUUUGUUUGUAUGUUUUCUAUUGUAGGUCUUUUGUAACUUUUGUUGUUCUUGGAUGUGUCUCGCUGUCAUUGGGAUGGUUGCGGUGUGGUGUUGUCGACCCAACUUUUCUCUUUGGCUUUCGUUGUGUUUUUGACGCAAGUACUGCAAUCCACCGUAGACGCCAUGAUUUUGUUGCAGCUUUUGGUCCAAUCAUAUAGAAUUUGCUCCAAUUCAGUGUUUGGAGUUGAAAAGGUGAUUGUUGCUGGUUUGCGUUAGAUCGGGUUUUGCCUGUGCAAAAUAAGAGGUUUAGCCAUGUUGGUGCUACGAGUCUCUUUGGUUUGCUGAAGAGGAAGUGGUGCGAUGUCCUUAUUUCUGUGUUUAUUUUAGUAUAAUAAUUCUCAGAAACUCAAUAGGAGUUUGAUGAUAUACGUAUUUAGUGUUAGAUUUUUUGAUGCAGAUUUGCCAUUAUUGCCGUUGCGCAGUGGAUCUGUAUUGUAAGUCUAUUUGUCUGCCAAAUUAGAGUUUUUAGGUUUUUCUGGCAUGCGUAAUUCUCUCUAGAUCAAACCAAUUUAUUUUUGUGUUUGGUCACUAGAGAUGUUGUACUCAUAUUUAGCAUUGCGACUACUCUGUACUUUUUUCUGUGUUAUUAAUAAAAUUACUAUCGCUUUAAAAAAAAAUAAAAAUUGCACCACUGAUUUUACAUGCACUGUUAUGAAAAUGAAACCAAUCUCCAUCCACUCAAUUACAUGCAAUCAUUCACAAGAGCUCCAUAUCAUUAUUGCUUAAUAAGGCCCCCUCCAUCACAUUCACCUUAAGCAUUGCAUGUGUCCUGUGAAUGGUAGGCGUUAGGUUUGGCUACUCUGCUUCUAAAUUUAUGCCACUAGAUCUUUAUUUGGUCUCUAAACUUUUUUAAUCACUUAAUUAAGGCAAGUGAAUAAUACCUCACUGUACAUUUAUGUUUCCACUCCUCAUAAAUAAUGGGCUACAAUCAAAUUACUUCAAAUAUUCCCUCCUAAUCUCCUAUAGCUCGAAUAAAUGAAUUUUAUUAUACAUAAUAUCCUACAAUUAUAUUUAAAGCUUACUUUAUAUCCUCCAAUAGUAUAGAUGUAUAUGUAUACUAUAUAUUCUAAUAGGUACAAUACUCAUAGAAAAAAUGUGUUGCUUUAAUAUACCUACAAGGCUUAAUAUCACAAAACGUCUCUAAGGUUUACGAAACUAUCAGAUUGCAUCCUUAAUGUUUCUUGUGUCAUUCGUGGUCUUCAAAGUUAGUAUGUGAGAUCACAAAUGGUCCCUGUGAAAUUUUAUGAAUUUUAAAUUAAAAAAUUUCAUAGGGACCAUUUGUGAUAGAUGCGUGAACCUCAGGGAUAUUUUGUGAUAUAUAUAGAUAUAUGCCACGUCAACAAACUAACGGAGUUUUUUACGGAACCUAAGGCAUGAACCAUUUGUGAUUACACAUACUAACCUUGAGGACCACGAAUGACAAAAAAAAAAUAUUAAGGAUGCAAUUUGAUAGUUUCGUAAACCUUAAGGACGUUUUGUGAUAUUAAGCAUACUUACAAUAUACCCAUAAUAGGUAAAUUACAAAUUAUAUUAUUGCACAAUAGUCAAUUAUUAGGUAAAUUAUAUCCAAAAUGUGUUUAUAAAAGUUGGGUAUAUUAUUUGAAUAAUAAUUAAAUUCAUACUAGGUACAUUAUUUUCACAAUAUAUUGUGAAAAGUUGGGUAGGUAAAUUCAUACUAAGUACAGAAUAGUCAAUGUACCAAUAAAAGUUAGGUAGGUAAAUUAUUUUCACAAUAUACCUAUAAAUGUGUUGUCUUUAAUAUACCUACAAUAUAUCCAAACUUCAUCAAGCUUGGGAUCUUCUUGAAAAUGGGAAGAUCUAGGAUAAGCAGCCAACCUCCUAGAGAGAGCGAUGUGCAUGGACCAGGUGAGUAGGGAUGCAGCUUCGCAGACCACUCGUCGUGCCUGAUAGGUCUAAUAGGUAAAUUAUUUUCACAAUAUACCCAUAAAUAUGUUGGCUUUAAUAUACCUACAAUAUACCCAUAAUAGAUAAAUUACAAGUUAUAUUAUUACAUAAUAGUCAAUUAUUAGAUAAAUUAUAUCCAAAAUACGUUUAUAAAAGUUGGGUAUAUUAUUUGAAUAAUAAGUAAAUUCAUACUAGGUACAUUAUUUUUCAUAAAAGAAGUAAUGGGUGCGUUAUUUUUUCAACAUAAAAAUGUAUGUUUGCUAUUAUAUUUAUAAAACAAUAAUACAAUAGAUAAUUAAUCACAUAUACUUUAUAAAUCAAUUUUAAAAAAUAAGAUUAAGUAUGUUAAAUAUAAAUUUAUUGUUAAAUUUAAAAAAAAUUCCAAAUUAAUUUCUACAUCCAUUUGGAGAUCUUUCCAAAUUCAACGUGUGUCAUGAGUUACAAUCCAAUUAAAAUUUGUUUCUAUGUUGGUUCCUACAUGUUGAGGCCCAAAAAAUCACGGGAAGCCCAAAGACAUUUAAAGCCCAAUAUAAUAUAUAAUGUCGGUCAUGCGUUAAUCCAAGCUGUAUUUUGGGAUUUAAUUCAUUAAAUAUAUAAAUAGAAAUAGUGUACAUGCCAUGCCAAACUAAUAAUACAUUUUUCCCAUGUUAAUCACCUAUCAAGCUCACAUGAACUCUAGUCAUGUGGUUUAUGGGGCUUGCAUGAGGGAUUGUGGUGUGGAAGGUUACGGAGGUCCACAAGGCCCACGAAAACUCUUGGAUAAUGUAGACUUUGGGCUAGCUACUUGGGAGCACCAAAGUCCAAGCCCAUUACUUAGAGUUCUCCAAUGUGGGUGAGUAAAUGAGAUACUUUUCAAGCACUUUCUUUUUACCCAUAGGAAAUAGUCAUUUUCCAAAUACCUAGCUUUAUCCAUUGGAAACAAACCUUUUCCAAUACUUCCUAUUAUCCACUGGAAACAAGCAGUUUCCAGUGCUUCCUUUUACCCAUAGGAAAUAAUCAGUUUAUGGUACCUAACUUUACCUUGUGGAAAAUAGCAUGCCAUAGUGCUCCCUUUUAACCACUUGAAAUAGGCUGGUUCCAACACCUCCCUUUACCUAUUGGAAAUAAAGGAAAACCCUCACCCUUUAUAAAUUAGCAUUCAUGGCUCAAGCAAAAGGGACCAAUUUUUCUUCAACCAACACUCCCUCACUUGGCUGUUGCAAGCAUCCCAGCAGCCAUCAACCCUCUUCAGCAACCACCAGACUACUUUCCUUCCUCCAUUCAGUUUCUGCAAGCAUUCUAGCGGCCAUCCCUGCCAUUCCUCAGCCAUCACAGCCAUGUCUUCUACUUUCUCACCCUUGAAGUCCAUCAUCUUCUCCAUAAAGCCUCACCAAGCAUAACUCUAAGCUUUUCCUUCCUUCCAAGCUAUAAACGUCAUAGCUUUCAAGCCUCAAGCUUUUCCUUUUAUCCUCCCACCUCUAGAACUCAUUCAUUUGAUUGCUAUAAGUAUCCCAACAACCAUCAUAGCUAAACAAUCAAACCACCAUAGCCAUAGCUUCAAAUAAUAAAUUCUCAACACUCAAACUCAAGUAUAGCAAACAUCAACCCUAGCACAAGCAUUCUCAUUUGCUAAACUUGUGGGUCUUUAACUCCUACACUCUAAGCUCUCAUGCCAAGCUCAUAUAAUCUCAUAUCAACAUCAGCAAGUCAUCGUCAACUUAGUCAGAGCAAGCAACAUCCUUACUCAUUGCUGGAAGUUUCAAUCUCAAGCCGUGUUCUUCCAUAUUCUUCCUCUCCUUCCCAUAAACACAUACAGAGAGAGCAAGCAUCACCAUUCACCUCUGGAACCCUUCGAUUUCAAGCUAUGUUAUUCCAUUUCUUCCAUUUUUUCUCUUCUGGCGAGCCACCCAAGAGUUUGACAAAGCUUUCGUCAAGUUGCUGGAAAUCUACUCAAGCCACCCAUCUCUUAUAUAUAUAUAUAUAUAUAUAUAUAUCUCUCUCUCUCUCUCUCUCUCACUCUCAAAAUCUCAAUCCCAUAUUUGAAACACCUAACCUCUCAUGCCUAGUCUAGUAGUAUCUCAAUUCACAAAGCAAACUCUCAUGCCAAGUUUGUGUAACAUCAAUGCACCAUCUUCAACUCUUCGUCAAGCUGCCGGAAACAUCCGCACAAAACACGCAGUCGCUGGAAUAAGAACAAAGUACUCCCCUGGGACUUGCUUCUCCCUCGGGAUACUUUGGGCCUAGUUCUCACUAACUCAGAAAAGGGGCAACGAAGCCCGGAUGAGCCUUCCGACGGAAAAAGACCCCAGCACUACAUUAAUAUACAAAAUGCAAUAAUGGCUUAGUUGGGGGUAUGUUAGGAAUAAAAAAAGUACAAUAAAUUUGAUUUUGUGCUUUAGAAAAGACAAGAUUUUAUUCAAACAAAAAUAAGGAGAUAAGUUGUAAAGUUGAGGGAAAAUGACUUUCAAGGGGUUAAGCUAAAUUUACUUUUUUAUUUUAUUUUUUAUUUUUAUAAUACAAGUGAUAUAUAGUCUAGAUGUCAUGAGCAGUGGCGGACCCAGUAUUUUUUUCUAUAUGUGGGCAUAACAAAGAUAAAAUACGAGACACAAGUGCAAAAAUUCAAGAGACUUUAAAAAUUGAUAACAUGGUAAAUCAAUACAUUUACAAUUGCCUCCUACGAGUUUUCAUGUUUUGAAAACGUUUGACAAUAAGCUCAUUAUCAAUUUCAUUGAAUAUGUCUUUCUCAAGAUAUACAACCAAGUUAUCGUUCAUCUAUUGAUCUUCCAUUCAAUUGUGCAACUGAUUCUUAAUAAAGUUCAUACCAGAAGCAAAGGAUCCACUAGUGUAGUGGUUUGGAGUAUUUACUCCCUCAAGCAAGGUCCUGGGUUCGAGUCCUAGCAUCCGUGUUGUGUGUGUGAGUUUAAUAUGCUAUCGUCCCUUUCAAUAGGAAAGGUCCUAAAAUUUAUAAAUAAAUAAAUAAAAAAAGUUCAUACCAGAAAAUACCCUUUCUACAGAAGUUGUAGCAAUUGCAAGUACCAAUGCCAAUGUUAUGAGUAAAUACACUAAUGAAUAUACUUUAUGAUUUCCUAUCUCAACUAAUUUUUUUUGUAAGACCAGAAAUUCCUUUCAAACCUUGAAACUUGGUAUUGGAAUGCAUAUCAUCAAUAUAAUUCACAAGUUGAAUUUCAAGUGCCAUGAGUUGAUCAAUAGAAAAAUUACUUGGGUAGAGUUCAGCAAGGCGUAAGCUAAAAAUGAAUUAUUUAGACUUAAGCAUGUCAAGCAAGUGUUAACCUCUGUGAAACGAUUCCUUAGCUCUUGAAGUUGCAAAUCUAUCACAUCAUAGAAAAGAUCAACACGAUAGUAAUGCAAAAGUUUAAUUUGUUGUGCCCUACGCCGUGAUCGCUCUCGAGCUACAAACAUAAUAUCAAUACUAGGAACUUCAAUAUUUUGCUUCACAAAAAAGGAAGGAAACUUGCUCUAAUUAAUAAAGAAUCCCAUCCAAUUCCUCUCAUAUUUUGCAGGUUUCGCUUGCAUAUUUCAAUUAAAUCCAUGGCAUUCACAAUAUCUUGAUCAUCCUUUUGUAAGGCUUGCGAUAACUCAUUUUUAAUUCCAAGUAUAAUCAUUAUCAAAUGCAAACUGAACACAAAAUCAAAUGAUUGCAGCAACCCUAACCUAAUAAAUGCUUCAUGUUUCUGAUUAGUGCCCACUUUAUCAUAUGAAUUUCCUAUAUCCAUCAAUUAUAGAUAAAAAUAUGGUAACAAAGUUAAUCAAAGUACCAUAGUGUGAGCCCCAUCAAAUCAAGUAUCACAUGGAUCUUUAACUCCAAUUUCUUGAUUCAUCACAUGGACCUUUAACUCCAAUUUCUUGAUUCAAGCCUUGCCUACUUAAGAGCUCGCCAUUGCUAAGUGCUUCAAUAACUUUGAGAGCUUGUUUUUCUCGUAAAAUGUCAAGAUAUUUUGAUGAUGCCCCAACAAUAUUUAGAAAACUAAGGUGAAGAAAGCACCAGACUAUGGUUUUUUGCUAAAGACACAAGAGCCAAUUGAAGUUGAUAAGCAAAGCAGUGAACAUAAAAAGCACAUGGACUCUCUUUCAUAAUAAGUGUUUUCAAACCAUUGAACUCUGCAUUCAUAUUACUUGCUCCAUCAUAACCUUGACCACACAAUCGAGAUAUGCUUAAAUGAUGUCUAGCAAAUAAUGCAUCGAUCGAUAUCUUCAGUGUGAGAGAUGUUGUAUUAGCCACAUGUUCAAUACCAAUGAAACAUUCAAUCACAUACCGUUUCUUGUGAACAUAACGAAACAUAACAAAGAUUUGCUCCUUUACGGAUACAUCACGAGAUUCAUCAACAAGAAUAGAAAACAAGGAAUCACCCAUAUCACUUAUAAUAGCAUCAGUUGUUUCAACUGAAGCAACAUUAACAAUGUCUUUUUGAAUCUUUGGUGAUAUCAACUUGAGGUUGUCAUAAGAAUUUUUCAGUGUUACUGCUCUAACUUGUUCAUGGUGAUAACAAAGGAAUUGUAAAAGCUCAAGAAAGUUUCCUUGGUUGCUUGAACUGAACUUCAAAUAUUUUUCUCUCCUUACAAUUUGAAAAUCCUUCACCAAUAAAUGCUUCACCACUUCCUUAUUCUCCACCAUUUGAUUUAAACAGAUAACAACAUAAACAAAAUGCAUAAUUUUUUUAUACACUAUAUUCCAACCAAUUAGGAAAAUCAUCAAACCAAGAAGAGAUGAACUGUUGUUUACCAUUACCAAAUUUCUUAAAAGGGAAUAUAUGACUCCUAGGUCCACAUGGACCCUUUUGUAGAUAUGCUCUUUAGAUUUGAUCUCGAAUAUAUUGUAAUCUAAAAUUUGAGUUUGUAAUCCAUGAUCUAAAGGAAGAUAUGCCACAUUGACUUCCAUAUAACUUUGUUUUGAACUACCAACCUCCAAAGGAGUUUACGACUCCAGCACUGAUUUUCUUUUAAAAUUCUUUUUCAUGAAUGUUACAAAAAUUAAUCUAUUUAGAAUUAAUUAACAGGUUAAUAGUUAAUAUCAGCCCCGAUCUCUUGGACCCCUGUGAGUGACCACAAAUAUCUUGGACCCCUGUAGUCCAAGAGAUCGGGACUGUAGUUAAUACAUGCUACAACCUAUAUGUAACAAAAAAAAAAGCAUAUAUUAUGUAUGAAGUAAUUUUAAAUCAAGUUCACAUAAUUUUAAAUAAUUCUACAUAAUACAGAUUAAUAAAUAUAUUAGUGUAAGAGCAUCCACAAUGGGCUCCCUAAAUCACCUUCUUAGACAAAAUUUAGGGAGGAUUUGAAAAAAUACAACUCCAACCAUGCUCCCUAUCCACCUCCUAAAAUAAGGAGACCUCUAGGAGCUCCUAAAUCUAAGGAGAGAGAAAGGACUUCUAGUGACUCCCUAUAAUUUAACGCCUCUUUAUUUAAUUAGUAUUUCAAACCUUUAAUUAAUGUUAAUUAUUUUUAUAUUAUUUUUUAAUAAAGAUGGACCAAUUAAAAAAGAGUUAUAGCAUUUAUGACUCCCUAAACUAGAAAGCAUGAUUGAAGUUUAAAUUUUAUAGAGGGCUCCUAAAAUAACUUUUAUAUGUUUUUAGCUAAAAUUUAACUAAAAAAUAGAGAGCAUGAUUGUGGAUGCUCUAAGGAAGAGAAGAUCAAUUACUAACCUAGAAGAAGCAAAAGAUUAAUAAACAAAGAUGAAUUCUCUUUGAAUAAUUGAUGGCAUCCACUCAUUGGCAUUGGUUGCUCUCAAGUAUUGAGGAUCAGAAAAAGGAAAAAAUUCAGGGAUCUGGAUCCUCUGCUAUGAUAUGCUUUAUUUUCGUUCAAAACAUGAUACCUCAUUAAAAUUUAAUCUAAGAGAUUUAAACUGGACACAUCAUCCACAAAAUAAAAACCCAAUUUACUCUUAAUUAAAAAUGAAAAAAAAAACCUAACUUGACUAACUCCAACUUAACAUCAGUUUUUUUUUUCUUCUUCCUUCCUUCUCUGUGCGUCCUCCCCCACACCCAAGCCUUGUAACUUUCUUAGAAAUUGAACCAAAUGAUUUGGAAUUUGUGGAGGUCAAGUAGCAACAAAGUUUUUUAUCCGGCCGUAUGCUCCAAAAGAUAAUUAAAGAAAGCUCAGGAUUUCUUUACUAUAUUUGGUUUCUUUCAUGUUUUUAUCCAAUUCAUUUAAUUUAAUUUUCCUGUUGGGUUUUGGGUUAAGGUUGGCAUUCAUAAUUCUUUUCGUUUUCUUGGAUUGCUUGAAGUUGUUUGGGUGCUCUGAUCUUAUUUGCUCAGAGUUCAAUCAUAUCUUAUAUCGACCUAUUUCCAUGGUUAAUAUCUUAAUAUUUAACACCAAACAACAAAUAUAAAAAGAGUUUUAGUACAAAAACAAGACAGUCUCGCAAAUUGUAGAAGGAAAAAUUAGAGAGAGAAAAAGAAUUAGGGAAGGAAUAGAUGGACGACAGCUCAAAUUUUGGGGAGAACGUGCAGAGAAGGGAAAAACAAAGAAGGAAAAUAGAACAGUUAGACAUGUUAGAGAUGUUAGGUUGGAGUAAUUGGAGUUAGUCAACUUAGGGUGAUUUAUUUUCAUUUUUUUAAUUAAGUGUAAAUUGGGUUUUUAUUUUCUGGAUGAUGUGUCCGGCUUACAUCCCUUAGAUUAAAUUUUAAUGAGGUGUUAUGUGGAGAACGAAAGUAAAGCAGAUUAUGGCUGAGAAAAUCAUAGCAGAGGAUCCGGAUCCAAAAUUUAGAGAAAGUGAGAGAAAGGCAGCCUUCACGUAAGUGGCUUUCUAGAUUUCUUUUUAAAUUAAUUUUUUAAUAAGUGGAUAAGUGUGUGUGAGCCUUACCACUAUGUAUAUAUAUGGAUAAUAAAAACUUGAGGGUGGACAUGUCCAUACUGGGCAUGAGUUGGAUCUGCCACUGGUCAUGGGUGUUUUCACACACACACUAUAAGGUGCCAUAGUGAUUCAAACCUAAGACAACUAGCCUACAAGUCAAUGUUCUUUUCUACUUGACUAGACCCCAUUGACUAAUCACUAGUUUUUAUUUCUUGUGUACAUGUCAUUUUUAAAUUGGACUAUUGACGGGUGCCUAUUAUUGUUGGUGCUCAUAAUUCAGAUGAUUUAUGUAUACAUGUGUGUGUCGUCGAUAUUUUUUUUUUUGGUUUCCUUAGUUUGUUUUUAUUUCUGUAAGUAAUUGUUUCUUUAUUAUAUUUUAAUGAUCAAGUUUCUUUCUAUGAAUUAUUCAGAGCAGCCAACAAAAUAUAUAAAUAAAAAGAAAGAGUUUUUCAAUUUAAACAUAGUAUAUGUCUAAUGUUGAUACAUACCAAAUCUUUGUAAGAGACCAAGGAGCCCAAAAAGAGAAGAAAAAUACCCAAUAAAGAAGCCCAUAAAGUAGUCCAAUAUCAAAAGUGUUUUGACUCUAGGUUGGACUCGACCUAAGGUUACCAUGUUAGGAUUUUAGAACUAGGAUUCUGGCUUCAAAGUAUUUGCGAACCUAACCAUAGUACGUUAGGAUCGAACAUAUGACUUGAUUUAGCACAUCUUUUUUUUUUUUUUUUGGAAUCAUAGCAUUAUGCAUAUACCUCCUCCUUCGUUGCUUUUCGAACCCACCUUGAUAAGAUGGUCAUUCAUGCACAGAACUACACUCAUUGUAUGAAUUAAACUAUAACAACUAAGAGUACAAGAAUUGAAUCUUACAUGAGGAAGGUUUAUACUCUUUUCAGCACCAAAUGCUUUAACUAGAAAAUAGGACUAGGUAUUUUAUAACGUGUAUUGCUGUGAGAGUAGGGACCUCAAUAUAUAAGAAUACAACGCAAAUCAAACCUCUUUUUCCAACCGUGUCCAAAACUGGUGAUUUGUCCCCUGAACUUGUACCUAACCUUCAAUUUACCUCAUAUCCUUUUUUUAAAAUAGAAAAUUAAGGAUAUGAACUUUUUUCCCCCUCCAAUUUCCCCCUUGCCGUCUAAAUCCGCAACAUUUCAUCCAAUUUGCUGUUAAACAUUUCAUCCAAUAGAAAAUUCAAAUAAUACUCUCUCUCUCUCUUUUGCAAGUGCAGACUAGGUUCUGUGGAUGGGGGGCAGGAGCAGGGAUCUGUUGCAACCGCCGGGGAGAAGGGGAGGGAUAGGUCUGGGUCUGGAGGCAAGGGCUGGGGUAUGGGUCUCGACUGGGGUAUGAGAUGCAAAUUUAGAUGCACAUAUAUAUCUUUUUUUACAUCUCUUACAUGUGAGACCUACAUGAAAAAAUAUGAGAAAAAGUGGACGAAAGUGGGACCUACAGCAGAAAAGGUGAAAGAAAUCAAUUAUACAUCUUUAGAUUUACAUCUUUCCCACUGGAGCAAAAAUUACAUUUACAACCCUCGAAAGUGUAAAGGAGAUGUAAAAAUGGCUUUACACUCCCCAAAAAUACACUCUACCACUGUGAAUGCUUUAAAUUGAGCUUUAUCCAACAUAUUGCCCAAUCAUUGAGGAUGGCCUAAGUAUAUCAUUUUUAAGAGAGAGAAACAAAAUAAUGUGUUUGAAAACUCACACGUCACUUUCUUUAAAAAAAAUAAAAUUAAAAAAAGAAAAUCGCAUGUCACACUGGGCCACCCAACCCCACAAAGAAACAAAACGCAACCUGAAUGAAACUCAUCUAUCAACUCCAACCCAACGCAACCCAACCCAACGUUCAACUCACGAGGAAACAGCAUUAGAUUUUAGCUGUUUCUCCUUCUUCGCUAAAACCCUUGUUAACUCUCCCACUCCCCUCCCCUUCUUCCUAAACCCGACUCCACCAUUCUCUCUCCCUCGCGCCUCAUAAUGCAAGCCACUCUCCUCCUCACUCCAACUCCAGGCGCCACCGUCUUCAAAUCCCUAUUCCCGCCAUCUAAUGGGCCCCACCACCUCAGACCCCAAUUCUCCAUCAGAGCCUCCAUUUCCGAGACUGCCCAAUCUCCACCGUCCAUCACCGUGGACUCACCACCGCUGACCCAGAAGCUCAACAAGUUCAGCUCCCGCAUCACGGAGCCCAAGUCCCAAGGUGGGUCCCAGGCCAUUCUACACGGAGUGGGGCUCUCCGAGGACGACUUGAGCAAGCCCCAGAUCGGCAUUUCCUCUGUGUGGUAUGAGGGGAACACUUGCAAUAUGCACUUGUUGGGGCUGUCAGAGGCUGUGAAAGAAGGAGUGAGAGAGGCUGGCAUGGUGGGCUUCAGGUUUAACACUGUUGGGGUCAGCGAUGCUAUCUCUAUGGGGACUAGAGGGAUGUGCUACAGCUUGCAAUCUAGGGACUUGAUUGCUGAUAGCAUUGAGACUGUUAUGGGUGCUCAGUGGUAUGAUGGCAAUAUCUCCAUCCCCGGUUGUGACAAAAAUGUGCGUAAGUUUUCUGGGUUUAAACUAAAUUUAUGAUUAUUAUUUUUAAAAUAUAUGAAGUUAAUGGGUUUCCAUGUCUUAUGUGACGAAGAUGUGAGAAAGUUUCUCUCUCUCUCAGUUGGGUUGAACUAAAUUUGUUAUUUUUUUCGUUUCCUUAGUGAUUAAUGGGGGUUUUGGGUUCCUUUCUCUUAUGUGAUUAGAUUGUGUUCCUGGGUUUUGGAUGAAAAUGUGGGCCUUUCUGUUAUUCUGUUAUUGAGUUUUCUACGAUGGCUAUUUAAAACUUUUUGAGUGUAACGUGAUUUCUUGGUUGAUGCUUCUGCUUCUUUUCUGAAAUGGGGUACCUGUGCGUGUUGAGAAAAAUGUGAGCAUUUGACAACGUUUGUAUGGGAGCUAUAUUUGGAUGACUGUGUAGGGUCGUUCAUUUGUUCGUAGAUUAAGCAGAGUGUUUUCUACUAAGAGGCAAUUCUAUAAAUUCAACUUAUUACUGUGUUACAUCUCGUCACUCAUAAUGCGCUUUCCUAAGCCAUGUGAUUUCAGUUGCAUCCUUAUUAGUCGUAGAGCAUUCAUAAAGCAUAUGUUUUCAAUUGAUUUUUGUAAUGAUUGUCCUUUUCUGCACUAGAGAUGAUGGCAUCUUAAAAGUUGAGGUGUUUGAAUAACACCCAUAAAGAUCUAAUAAUUCUUGGAAGUGGUUUCAGUUUUUUAGUUUUUCUAGAAAAAUUGGGUGAGUUUAUUAAAUCUCAUUUACUUAGGGCCCGUUUGAUAACCAUUUCAAUUUUAGUUUUUAGUUUUCAUUUUUUGUGCUAGAGUAUAGAGUAUAGAUUUCAGUUUUUAAAUUUUGUUUUCCCUUUUGUUACUCCUCAUGUCCAUCUUCCCCUCUCAUCUUCCCUCUCAAUCUCGUCUCCACUUGCAUUCUCACUUUCAUUCUCCCUCUUUUUCCUCUAUAUUCUAGCACAAAAAAUGAAAACUAAAAUUGAAAUGGUUAUCAAACGGGCCCUUAUUGAAUGAUAAUUAGUGCCUACAAAUUUUCAAAAUUUUCUCAUAGAAGUAGCCAUUCUGACAUCUGCUCUUUUAACCAAUAUUUCCCCCCUUAAUAUACAAGGUUGCUUGCCUUAGUGAUCAUUUUGUUUAUGAAUUAUAUUCUCUCUCUCUCUCUCUCUAAGUUUACUAUCAAAAGAAAUUGGUAGGGCAAGGGCCUUCAUACAAACCCCUCAUUUCAUCCAUGUGCUUAGUCUAGUAACAUUGUUUUUUUUUUUUCCUCUCAUCCACAAUUUUUAAAUAUAUCCCGUGUCUUAUGCUAGCACUUCUUGCAGAUGCCAGGUACAAUUAUGGCAAUGGGGCGGCUCAACCGACCAAGUAUUAUGAUUUAUGGCGGAACUAUUAAGGUUCAAUAUCUCUAUUUGAUUACUGAAAGUGCAAGUUGUGGAUUGAAUCUCGUUUCUGUAUUGUUAGCUUUUUAUCUUUUGGUCAACUAUUUUGCUAUGAUUUCUGCCAAUCUAUGUUUUUCAAUGUAUUAUGUCACGAGGGAUCAACUUUUCAAUGCUUUCCUUUAUCUUUAUUUAGGAUUGAUCUUGCAUAAGAUAACAGGUUUUUUGAGGGAAACUGAUGUCAUUUACUUAAGCAUGUUUUCUCCUCCGUAGUCAAAGAUUUUUUGCAUAUCACUUGGGUUUUGUUUAUUUCUGGAUUUCAUAAGGUGUAGAUGAAUUAAACUCAUGUUCUGGAUCAAAGUUCUGAAUCUAGGUACUUCUGGAUCUGUACUUUGCUAUGUUAUUACGAAAAAGAAUGUCAUAUUGAUUUUUUUAUUGUUGGACUUAGUGACACUGACCUAAAAUAUCUUGGAAUAUAUUAUUAGUUAUUUUACUGCAUUAUUAUGUGAUGAUUAAUGUCGCCUGAUUGUUCAUCAUAGUUGAUUUUAACUUAAUGCUUGCUAUAUAUAUUCUUUUCAAAAGAAAAAUAUAAUUGCUGUCAGUUAGAUAUUAUUUGUUUUUAUUUAUCUUCUUUUUUGUUUUUCUUGCAGCCUGGACACUUCCAAGGCAAUAGUUAUGAUAUAGUGUCUGCAUUUCAGGUAUGCACUCUAAAUUGUGGUUUGAACAUAUUUUUGGAGCUGAUUACUUUUGGUUCUGAGUAAAAAGAUAUCUAUCAUGUUAACUGCUUUUGUAUUUUGUAAUUGUAGUUUUAUUUUCUUUUUCUUAGUGUUUCAUUUGCAAAACAAAUGGUGUAUGCAUGCUUUGUGUUUUGCCCUCUUUCUAUUUCCUUUGUGAAGCCUUCACUUACAGUAAUAAGAUGAAGGAAAUUUCUCUUUUAUUUCAAUAGAUACUUGGAAUGCCUGAGUCUGUGUCUUCCACAAUAAUCUGACUUGUAGAAGUUGAUUUAUUUGGGUUUAUCAUUUUAAUUAAGUACAACUGAGUUUCCAAGGAUACAGUCAAGGAGUGCAAUAUUCACUAGUUCAGUGAAUUGACAGGACGUAGUACAAAUGUCUAGAUUCUAAUUUUUGUUUUCCUUUUGUACAAAUGGCUUAUCUUUCAAUUUGCUCAUCAAUAGUGUUGCUAAAAUCUUUGUUAAGAUUAAUGACGGGUUAUGGGAGAGGGGAAGGUCACAGAAAAUAAGGUAGAGCAUGCUUUGGUUCGAGCCUGAUUAUCCCUAAACCCAAUUUGGGUUUUUCUAGUUUUACUUGCUUCCUUGCUGUGAUCAAAUGAGAAUGGAUAAGGGGUUCUCAGGAUGAAUGCUGGCUGCAUGCUGAACACAUGCAAGUCAGAUGAGAAGUGGUGUUUCUAGUGGCGGACGGAUGAGUAACGCGUAAGAACCUGCCCUUGGGAGGGGAACAAUGUAAGUCCCAUACAAACAACAGCUGCAAACGGCUGCUACUACCCUGUAGGUUGAGGAGCCAAAGGAGGAAUCCACCCGAGGAGGGGCUCGCCUGAUUAGCUAGUUGGUGAGGCUGGGAUGCUUUUUGGUUAUCCAAAUAUGUCAAUUUCUCUCCAAAAUGGUGGGCUGCGGAGAGUUUUCAGGGCAGUCUUUUGUUAAACUGGGCAUUUAGCGUGUAUUUAUCUUCCAUAAAUAGAACAAGAUUUUGUUCAUGAUGAGCUGGAAAGUGCAUGCUGUUGUUGUGUGUAAAAUAACUUCUUUAUGCUGUUACUGUACAAAGCUACCCUGUUUAAAUGAAGAUGUACUUUCUACCUCUUUGGCCUGACUAUGGCUAUUUUGGACCUUUUCUUUCUGUUGUGAUUUUGGAUUCCAAAUUUUGAUGGGAAAAUGUCAAUCUAAACUUCAAUAGCAGUUAGUGAUGUUAAGUCUUGCUUUAUAGCUAUUUUCUGCCUUUUGUGAGGUCACAUUUAUAUUGUUAUACAUUACCUCUAUAUUGUUUCUCGUUAUGUCUGAUAAUUGCUUAUGCGAGUAGUCAUUGCAUUUUAAGAUAAAAAGGCUGUUUCAGAACAUAAAUUGUUAUGUUCACCAUGUGGUGAAGUUAAACUUCUUCGUAAUUUUUUUUUUUUUCCAUUGAUGUUGUAGUGUUAUGGAGAAUAUGUAAGUGGGUCCAUAAGCGACGAGCAGCGAAAGAAUGUUCUCCUUAACUCUUGUCCUGGGGCUGGGGCAUGUGGCGGAAUGUAUACAGCUAAUACUAUGGCUUCUGCCAUUGAAGCUAUGGGAAUGUCUCUUCCUUACAGGUAGAGAUGCCUUCAGAGAAGAAUUUAAUUUAUGUUUUGCAAGCAAUCCAUUUAUUUAUUUCUUAUUAUAUAUAUAUUUUUUCCUCUAAAAGCUCAUCUACACCUGCUGAAGAUCCAUUGAAGUUGGAUGAGUGCCGAUUGGCUGGGAAGUAUCUCUUGGAAUUACUAAAAAUGGAUUUGAAACCUCGAGAUAUUAUUACUCCAAAGUCACUACACAAUGCAAUGGUUAUUGUCAUGGCACUAGGGGGUUCUACCAAUGCUGUUUUACACUUGAUUGCUAUUGCAAGGUGAGCAACCAGAUUUCUGCAGGAUGCUAAUGAUUGUUUUGCAUGAAAAUAUCAACUGACAAGAUUCUUGGCAGGUCUGUUGGUCUGGAAUUAAGUCUAGAUGAUUUUCAGAAGGUUAGCGAUAAGGUUCCAUUUCUUGCUGAUCUUAAGCCUAGUGGCAAGUAUGUCAUGGAGGAUGUACACAAGGUAUCCUUUCUUGCACUUAAUGUUACAAUUGGUGGCACAUUUCGCGUGUAUAUGACAUUUUUCUAUCAGUUCUGGGCUACAUUUGGUACUUGUUUUCUUGAUGAGCCAGUAAUGAUUAUUUUAAUAGAUUGGAGGAACACCAGCAAUCAUUCGGUACCUUUUGGAGCAUCAAUUUUUACAUGGGGAUUGUAUGACUGGUAUAAAUCUUCAGAUUGUUUACAUCUUUGGAAACACUUAGUUUAAGCUGUAAUGCUUAUAACAUUAACAUAAGGAUAUCUAUUCCAUAGUCACCGGGAGGACACUUGCUGAGAAUGCUGAAAGUUUCCUUCCUUUAUCUAUAGGGCAGGUAUGAUAAAUGUCUCUAUUGAUAAACCAUGUGUUUGAAGACAAACAUUUAUAUGGUUCUCUCAUGCGUUUCUUUUUUCUUGUCUUUGUCUUUUUCCUCUCAUUCAUUCAGGAUAUAAUAAGGCCCUUGGAAAACCCUAUCAAGAAAACAGGCCACCUUCAGAUAUUAUAUGGAAAUCUUGCACCAAAGGGUUCUGUAGCAAAAAUUACAGGGAAAGAGGGGCUAUAUUUCUCUGGUGCUGUUUUCUGUUAUUUGUUUAAUGGUUUAGUGAAGUAUUUUUUUAAUUUUUAUAGAAUAUAAAUGCCCAUUAAUUGCCGAAUUCUUGAAAUACUCCAGGCCCUGCACUUGUCUUUGAAGGAGAGGAGUCAAUGAUUGCUGCUAUCUCAGAGAAUCCUAUGAGUUUUAAGGUCUAUUCUUGACAACUUCAAAUUAGAAAACUGUGAUUAGAAAACCACGUAGCUUAACAAUCUUAGUGCGAGAUUGUUUCUGUUAUUUGCAUAUUGCUUUCUGCAUCAUGUCUGUUGCACGAUGGCCUUUAAAAUUGUAAGGUGUUUUUUUUUUUUGUGAAACUCACGUGUCAAAAUUACAUAGCUAAUUUCUUUUAUAUAUUUGUCAUCAUGCAGGGGAAAGUAGUUGUUAUUAGAGGCGAGGGGCCAAAGGGAGGACCAGGCAUGCCUGAAAUGUUAACACCAACAAGUGCAAUAAUGGGUGCAGGACUAGGGAAGGUAUAGUUAUUUGAAAUCCAUGAUUUGGUGGUUGUUGGUUGUCUGUUUUUGUUGCAGGUUGACUUAAAAUGUUUUGCUUUUCAUUCACAUGAACUGUGCCAGUUGAUUGAUUGGUCCAACUGCAAUGAUUUUAUUUCAACGCUUUUUAUUAGAUUUUGUUUUAGAUCAAGCUAAUUAUUAUUAUUUUAUUUAAACAAUUAAUCCCAUCAUGGUCCCUUCAAGCUGCUUUGCAUGGCUUUAGUUGGUAUGCAGCUAUUGUGUCCUAAUGGAUGUUUCAAUGAAUAUUGUUUUUGGGUGUUGCAGGAGGUUGCUUUAUUGACGGAUGGUAGGUUUUCAGGGGGUUCGCAUGGAUUUGUUGUUGGCCACAUAUGCCCUGAAGCACAGGUGCUCUAAACUUUUAGUUAAUGUUAUUGCAUUUUUAGCUUUUACCUUGAUGGAUUUGUCUUCCCUACUUAAUCAAUUAUGUGUGCGUGCUGUUAUUUUGUGUUGGGGGCCACUUAGGCCUAUAGGCUGCACUAUAGGUCUUCCAGCCCGUAAAAGAGUCCAUCAAUGGUAAACGAUGGUUUUUGUUUGCUUUCCUUUUCUGCUGAACGGAGAAUAAACUUGAUUCAAGAUAUCUAAGCAUGCUACAGAGUUCCUUCAAAAUAGUACAAAACUGGACUCGUGGAAAUCAUAAAAAACUGUAGAAGAAAAAUAUGAUAAUCCCGUGUGUUAAAAUCUCAUCAGUUUUAUAUUCAGAAUGCAGUAUCAGAUUUGACCCAAUGACAGUGUUUUUCCUUUGGUUGUAUUUUUCAGGAGCUUUAUUUCACUGGAAGUGCAUGAAAAAUUUGGGCACUUUAAUCUUUACUUAAUCAUAAUCAAUUGUAGAAAAUGAAAAAUUAUUCAUCUCUUCCGUCAAGAAAAUGAAAAGCUAAUGUGUUACAGUGGUCAAGCUUAUUUACAACAUGCAAAAAAUUUGUUAUAUAUCUUAGAUACAAAUUACGAUAAAGAACAAAGUAAUAAAGAGUGCUCAGGGAAUGUAGUAUGAAUUAUUUGCAGGAAGGUGGUCCUAUUGGAUUAAUUGAGAAUGAGGACAUCAUCAACGUUGAUGUCGAAAACAAGAGAAUAGAUGUCCAGUUAACAGAUCAAGAGAUGGAAAAACGAAGAAAGAACUGGAUUCCACCCGCAUACAAGGCUAACCGUGGAAUUUUGUACAAGGUAUGUGUGAGAAUCUUGAUUUGCAACCAUCUUUUCCUCGUUACGAUUGAUUGUUGUAUUUUGAGAAUUACAUUGUCUUGUUUUGCAGUACAUCAAGAAUGUGCAGUCGGCUUCAAAGGGUUGCGUGACUGAUGAGUAAUGGUGGUGAGGAGAGGACAUUACAUAGAUGGCAUACUAUAGAGUGUGAUAGCAAUUGCUGAAAUUAGUAAAUUGUCAUGAGGAGAGAUGUUGGGUUGGGUCUAAUUGCGGCUCUUGUAGGAUAUUAUCCAUUUGGCUCUGUAGCGUGUUUCUUAUGCUGUAUGUUGGUAUGCUUAAAUUUGGUUGCUCCUAGGUUUGUUUGUGAAUUGUCAAAUCCCAAGUCUGCUUUUAUCUCCUUUCCUUUUUCUAGAGGAAUUUCUCCUUUGGAAACUUCACUCAUCGUCCAACCAAAAGAAGACUAGUAGCACGCGCACACACAAACACACAAACGACCAAGCACUCUUUCAAGAGGUAACACCAAACACUUAUGGUCGCGUGUAAUUUAACCUUAAUUUCAUGCAUUAUUUAUACUUUAUAGAUAUUAAUUUGAUAUAGCCACGCAGCUAUAAAUACGUACGUAUUUUAUUCGGUAUAAUUUUGGCAAAUUGUAACUUAAAAGUUCAUAUUUUAAUAUAUAUUAUUUGCAUUCAAUAAUAUAUGUAUAAUAUAUGAAUUUUGUGUGUAUUAUUGAAAAUUUUGCUAAAAGUAUGUGUAUUAAAUAUGAAAAAUACUUACAUAAAUGUUCAAUACAAGUAUUGUAUAUUUACUUUUUUAAAAAUUAGGGAAAAUAGAGUAUAGCCGUGCGACUAUACUACUUCUUUGUUAAAAAAAAAAGGAAAAACCAAGUCUCUUUUAAAAAAUUAGAAAAAAGUGAGUAAUCGAGUGACCAUACUAUUUCUUUAAAAAAAAAUUAGAAAACACCGAGUAUUGUCGAGCGGCGAUACUAUAUAUUUAAAAAUCAAAUUAGGAAAAAGUAUUAUACAUUUACUUUUUAAAAAAUUAGGGGAAACAGUGUAUAGCCGUGAGGCUAUACUAUUUAUUUUAUAAAAAAAAAAUUAGAAAAAACAGCGUAUAGCCGAGAGGCUAUACUAUUUCUUUUAUAAAAAAAUUUAAAAAAAAAGGACCCUCCUAGUUGCACUAUUUAUACUUCAUAUAUAUAUAUAUAUAUUGAAUUGGUAUAGCCGCGCGGCUAUACGAAUAAAAUACGCCCAAUUUUAGCAAAUUACAACUUCAAAGUUCGGUUACUAUAUAAUAUUUUAAUAUAUAUUAUUUAUAUUCAAUAAUAUAUGUAUAAUACGUGAAUUUUGGGUGUAUUAUUGAAAAUUUUUUGUCAAAAACACAUGUAUAAAAUAUGAAAAAUACAUAGGUACAUGUUCAAUACAAGUAUCGUAUGUUUACUUUUUAAAAAAUUAGGGAAACCAGAGUAUAGCCGUACUCUGGGCGGCUAUACUGGGAAAAUAGCGUAAGCUGUGCGGCUAUACUGUUUCUUUUAAAAAAAUUAGGAAAAAACAAGAGUAUAGCCUUCCGGCUAUACUAUUUAAUAAUUUAAAAAAAUAAGAAAAAAAGACUCUCCUAGUUGUAUUAUUUAUAGAUUUUAAAUAAAUAAAAAAUUAGAAAAACCACAAGUGUCCGAAGCUACAGUCUCACUUUGAACAUAAGAGAUGUCUGAUGUUCUAGUUCCAUUUCUGACAGAAAAUGUCUGAGGCUACAGUAAGAACCGAUCAAGACGAUAUAAGUGGUUUUUAAUAAUUAACAAUAUUAGCUCAUACUGAUUGUUAAGAACCAAUAUAAGUGGUUUUUAAUUACAAUUCAUUUAACAAUCAGUAUGAGCUAAUUGGAUAUUAGUUUCAGCUUUGGGUUGAAAACAAUUCAAACCGCUAUGCUUGUACAAGUGGUACGCACUGAUCUGCCCCAACAAAACAAUAAAGACAUCUACUUUAAUAGUGAAUAUACAGUCCCUGAUAGGUACAGAAUGGGAAAAAAAAACAAGAGCUAACUAGUUGCGGCUCCUCCUGCAAAGUAGUCCCAAAGUUCAAAACUGGAAAGCACUCCUACUGAUCAACUUGAAAGGCAUGCGCGCAUUAUUUUGUGAUUUCUUUAUAGUUUGAAGCAGCAACGCCCAUCAAGCAACCAUCUUUUUUUUUUUUCGUCCUAAAAUACCUUGAAGCCUGUAAAUAGAGGAAGAAAGCUCAGAAUCAGGAAUCCAACAACAAAUCAAUCAAACCUAUUUUGAACAACCUUCAAAAUACGCCUACUCUCGACAACCUCGAAGUAACCCAGACUCAAAUUCUUGCAAAGCUUCUCACUACAGAUCAAGGCCAAUUCUUGAAUCGAAUCCUCUUCUUUUCUUUGAGUUCCCAAUUGACAACUCCUGAUUGUAAUUCUAUUCUUUUUCCAAACACAUACUCUAUCCAAGUCCCAGUUGACAACUCCUAAUUGGAAUUGCAUUGCUAUUGUUUGUAAUCUAUAUGCUCUGCUAACACAGCUUGGUAUGAUUUGAUAGUUUGUCUCGAUUUCCAACUCAUUUAAAUCAAAACUCCUAUAUGUAGUUCGGACAAGUUCUGGCAAAUAUAUCUGGGAAACUCUCAUCGGACAUACCAUCUACACUGUUUCAAGUAGAUUGCAAUUAUGUUUGAUAUAAUUUAUUUCUGUCCGACAAGGCUUUCGUAGUUUUGUUGGACCCAACUUUACUUUUAUUUGCAUCUAUCGUUAGGUCUCUGUUGGGUAUAUAAUUACUUUAUGGUAUUAUGCUAUCCAUCGGACACCUCUCCUGCAAGGCUCAUUAUUGUACUCUUUGUUCGAUGACAAUUUAAAAAUCAUCAUUCAUCUUGCGUUUUUUAUUCCAUAAUAGGUGAAAUAUUGAAGUCCUCUUCAUUGAGGCCUAGAAAAGAACCUAUCUAAAGCAAGAUCCCCUUAUUUAGAGCACAAUGACUUUGAUUAGAAGAUAAGAAUACAAGGGCGCAACACUUUAACAAGCUUAAUCUUCACCUCACCACUCUUUCUACUAUAAGAGUAUCACUAGUAGUGGCAUGCCUAUCGCAAUUCACCAAAAAGUAGAUUUCGAGCCUACUUUAGGGCCCAGAUCUCUCUCACUUCACUUCCUUCACCAACAACCAAUCGCUAGUUGCCAGCGUACAGCCUGCUAGUGGCCAGGGGCAUCGCAGUGUUCAAAACCUGACGAACACUUAGUUAUCAAUUCUAGACCAUAUAUUCCUUUUGAUGCCUCCAACACCUCUUCGCAUUAUACUAACCAUCCAUUGUUAUUACUAAUUUGUUAUCUUUGUAGGGAUUGCUUAGUUGAAUAUGGUGAGUAGAUUGUACUUAUUAAAAUUACAUUCAUUUCACAGUUCAAUGUAUUCUUUUUAGUUAUUUUAUAUUAAAUUAAAAUAAUUAUUCAAUAAAUAAUUUAAUAGUAGUGUGUACUCAAUUAAUUUUAUAAUUUGUUUAACAUCACCAAUGUUUUUAUAACAACGCCAUGACUUGAAACAGUUGAAUUGAAACUAUCCGAGAAAUUAUAAUUGUUGUCCAACAACGUGACCCAAACAAAUUGAAGUCUCUCUUUUCCUUUUCAGAAAAUAAACUGUUAAUUUCUUUUUUUUUUCUUUUCCUUUUUUUAUAAUUUUCUUUUUUCAUGGGUUGGACGUUGGGGGCUGAUUAGGGUGGGCCUCAGCUUCUCAAAAAUUCCGGCUGCCCGACCCACAAAUUAUGAGAAACCCUAAAAUUGACCCGACCCAUUUCCGCCACUGAGGGAAGAGGGGUUGAUGGGUGGUGGGUUCAUCUUUCAACAGAGACAGAUUUGGAGACCGGUGCAUGAGAUCAUCUUCCUCUUCCUUCUCUUCAAAUUCUGGGGCUUUCUCUUUUGGAUUUGAAUCCACCACAACUACAAGGAUAACGAUAACGUCAGGUUAUUUUCUUCAUUUUCUUUUAUUUAAUUUAAAAAAAAUUUAUAAUUGUUUCGGUUUAAGUUUUGCUUUGAAAUUCAGAAUUUUACCUACCUUUCCUUCUGAUUCAGUCCUACUUUCUCAUACAUUCUCAUCGAGGUUCUUUGCCAUCUGAUUGCACUUUUUUUCAAUAAAUUUUUUAAACCUUGUCGUUAAAUUUGGUAUUAUGUGUUUUAUUGUAAUUGUUUAAUUCAAAGUUUUCUACGAAGGUCCUUGUUUUUUGGUUUUUUUGGGUGACUGGCGAUAAUGGAAGCGUAUAUCAAUUUUUACUUCUGAAUGUUCAAUAUUUAUUUUAUCUGCAUUAAUCUCUGUUUAUGUAUCAAGCUUGAUUAUAAUUUGUAAUUUCUAGUGUCAUGAAAUAUAUAUAUGCCAGUUAUUUUGAUAUUCAUUAUCAUCUGUUCUGAGUUUUGUUAUUUAGGAAUGAAAUAUAUGUGGUGGAAAGCGCAUCACUUUAUCUUUAACGUAAAGGUUGAAUUUUGAGUGUUACCUCUUGAUGAUUUCUUUAAUUGGGCAGCAGUGAAACUGGUAUUACCAUGAAUUAAGUAUUUCCAUGGAGAAAGUAGAUUUUUUUCUCUUGGAUCCUUUAUUUAAUACAAGAUAAGAAAUAUAGUUAUUCCUUAUACAUGUUGUAUCUGAUUACUCCUUGAGAUCUUUAAUGGAAUUCAAUAUCUUUUUUGGGGGUUCAAGCCAGACCCUUUGGGCUUGUAGGAUCUGGGAGGUAGAACUCUCCUAUUUAUUAAACUCCAUUCCUUGGGAUGGUCGGACUGAUGAUGACCAUGUAAUAUUUCAAGCUGGGUCACUGAAUUAUUCUUAAUUUCCUUGUGAAUAGAAAUUAACUUUGAUUGAACCCCUUUGAAUUUUCAAGUUCAUACUUCAGAGUGCCCUCUCCCAAUUUUUACAAAGAUAAUAUAUUAAUUUAUAAUAAAUAAAUAAAAGGUAAGUAGAAUACACAGCCCUGCUUAAAUCUGAACCAUAAAGUUCACUGGGGCCUGCCCCCAAUACAGGGGUGCCCUCACGUUGGACAAUUCUUACUCAACAACCGACCCUUCCAUUUGCAUGGAAAAGGAAGGUGAGCAUUUUCAAUCUUCGUAUGGUCCUCUGUUAACAGGAGCAUGUAGUUUCUAUUCCCAUCUUUGAUACCUGUCAAUUCUGCCACACAAUCUUCUGUGCCCAUGUUGUUGUAUGUCUAUUACCUCUUGAUGUCUUCUUUUUAUUUCCUUCUUCAGUAUUUUUAUACCAUGUGUCACUUCUUUUACAAUUUUAGUAUCAUUUCUCUGAGUCCUUUCAAACAACUCCCUCCAAUAAUGUGUCCAUUAUUCACUUCUGGAUCUUGUAGUGUACUUUAUACAGAGACAAGAGUCCACACCGUGUUGCUGAACUUGGCAUAAAAAUGGCAGUUCUCCAUCCAGUAUUAGUUAUAAAAAAGAAAAUGAAAAAGAGAAAGAUAUUUUUGACUUAUGCUUUAGUAGGUGCUGAAAUCAUGUUUUGCUCACAGAUGAAUAUCUGCAAGCAAGUGGUAUCAACUGAAACCUUUUUUUUGUAUUGCUUUUAGUAACAUUUUUAUUUAUGCGCACUUCCUAUUAUGUAUAUAAGCUACAACUAUUUUUUUUGCUACAAAUUUUUGCCAUAGCUAGAAUUUUCUUAUUAUUGAGGGUUUAUAUAUAUAUAUAUAUAUAUUGACUAAAUGCGAGUAGCUGGUGCUGAAUGAUUUAGUUUUGUACUCUUUUAUGAAAUUAAUGUAGAUUAUGGAGGACAUGGACAUCGAUCAGGUAGUGGAUGUACCUGACACACCUGAUAGAUUGGCUUCCAGACACAUUACUGGCAGGGAAUCUGUUGGUAAAGUCUGUAAUUCACCAUUAGCUUGUGACUUGAGUAAUCCAGAUGUUGUGGAUGAAAACUAUGUGAAUGGACUGAAGGUCAGGGGAAGGUUCGUCAGUGAAAAUGGGCAUAAUAGAAGAAUUGUUAUACAUCCUCCGACAAAUCUUAGCAAUCUUGAUAUUAAGAGUUGCAGCAACUCAAAUGUUGAUAAUUCAUCUGCUUCCCAUAAUGCUCACAUCUUUCGGAGAGCAACAGUGGGCAAAAGCUCCAGUCGUGAAGCCAAAUAUUCUACUGGAAUUGAAAAUAUGGACGAAGGAAAGGCUAUGACCAUCAAAGUUCCUUCUAAAUCAUCUGCUUGCCAUGAAAAUGCUAAAUUUUUUGAUUUAACCAAACACAAUGGUCACACCCAAUUAACGAAAAAGGUUUUUCCACAUGUUGAAUUGGAAGAUAAUGUUGCUGAAGACAAAAGAAAAGGGCAAGUUGCGUUAAUUGGCAGUUCUUCUGUAGAUUGCAUUUCAAGUCAUGCGGAGAGAUCCAGAAAUGCUCCCAAGGGGAAAGAAAAAAUAGAUGGUAGUACAAAGGGUUUUGGGUUAGCUGUGGCUCUUGACAAGGGGGUUGGUCUGUCCAUUGAUCCUGAACAUAAAAUGGGGCAACAAAUGCCCGUUCCUCUUCAUUCUGUUAUGCAGCCAAGAGUCAGUGGCCAAAAAAGGUUGGUACGAAAUGGGUGUAUUUCCCCCCAUAAUAUAGCAACAAGGACUAAACAGUUAGCUGAACAGCGUAGCAAUAGUUCCAAGGAUAUUGAACAAAGUCACACAGGGAAUGCAGAUUCCAAUGGUUCACCAUAUGUCAUAGACAUAAAUGACAUAGUUACUGAAGGCAAUAAUAGUGAAAGACUGAAAGGGAAGGGGAAAGGUGUAAUAAUUCAUUCUCCUACACCUAAGGCAAAUAAUGCAAGAAUUAUUCGUACAUCAGGCAGGUAAUUUGUUCAAUAUGGUAUUUUCUUGGUUAGAUGCUCUUAAAUAUAUGUUUUAGUUAUGUCUUUUCUUAAUGAGUAAGUUAGAAUUACAUUUCAAUAUCUGGUUUCAAGAAGGUUGAAGAAUUUAGAGGGUUGCUGACUGUUGGAUUGCUUAUAAGAGUGAUAUGACGAGGGGUUUGUUUAUGAGAUCUUUGUAACCUUAGCCUUUUAUUUUGUUGGUAUUGGUGAGAGCACCUAAGUGCCCCUCCCCCCUGCCCUGGGAGGAAGAAGUUACGGUUGAAAUGAUGGUGCCUGUAGUUUUUUUUCUCCUAACUAGGGUUUAUGUCCUUGCAAGCACUUUUUCACAAUCUAUUCGGGAACGUUGACAUUAAUAUAUUUCCACCUUCUCUUAUAAGGUUGAGAAACGAGUAACACAGGGUUGUGAUAAAUGGGUACUGGAGUGUUAUGGUUUGGUUGUAUAAAAAUUGCACUCACGUUUGAAAUUUAAUAACUUCUCCAUGGCUUUUAAUGUAUGUAUAUAUAUAUAUAUAUUAUAUUUCUAAAAUUUCCUGAUGUGACAAACCGUAUGAUAUGAUAUUUUCUCUCUUCCAGAUUUUUGGGCUUUCAUCUUAUAAACCGGAUAAAGUCUUUGACAAAAAUAACAAGAUGUGUCACCAUCUGACAGCAUGAAGAAUUUCUUUCUAAUUUUUUUUUCUGCUUGAUUGUUGUUUCCAACGGUGUUUAUUGAUCAGCUUAUGUCUAUUUUCCGUUUUAAUAAACAUUAUCUUGAGACCUUAUGACAUGGUAUGUUUUUUGCAGCGGUCUUGUGAAUAAUAAUAAAGAAGCUAAUGGAAUAAGGGAUGUCAGUAGCAAUAUUUCUGGACGCUCUGAAGGACUAGGUGGCUGGAGAACCACACGUAAUCGUUCAAGUCAAAUAGAUUAUUUCUUGCCUGAUUCCACUGAGCCUCUUCCCAGGAGAACUAAUGGUGUUGGGAACUUUGUCAAUCAACAUCAAAACAGAGUACAGAGGAGAGAUACCAGGAGUCGAGGAAAUCGAAGGACUGAAGAUGAUGUGGCAGAAGAACUGAAUGCAACUCAAAAAGCUUCUGGACUUGUGUCUGAGCUGGACCGGAUACCUGGGUCAUGUCAUGCAGCAAAGACAGUUACUAAAAGGCAGAGGAAACAGGGAUUAAGUUUGGGAAAUCAUGCUGAAUGCUCUACCUCGGUGUCCGGGGACUCAGAUAUUGCUUUUCUUGGUUCAUCUGAAAAUUCAAAAUCAUCUAGGAUCCAGAGACCUCAAUUUCAGGGAAGGUCAAGUCGAGUUAUUGAGGUUGAUGACUUAUCACCUGCUGCAGGGCACUCUGUGCCCCAAGGUUUUGAUUCCAUGAAUGAUGAUUCCAAUGCUAGGGCAAGACAACUAGAAGCAGAUGAGAUAUUGGCUCGUGAACUCCAGGAGCAAUUAUAUCAUGAGGUGCCUAUCAGUGGAGGUGGCGAGGUUAGUGCAUUUUAGGCAACCGUGUUGUAUGUGCGUGUGCAUAUUUUUCUAUGUAGUAUUGGCCAUAGUUUACAAGAACAUUAUGUAGUAUUGAUAAGAGGGGGAAGGGUUAAGGAUGUACGUGGAACCUUGGACAUAUAAUAGUUCCGAAUAGAAUUUCUUCAGAAAGAGGAUCUUUAUGUGUGCAAAUGGACAUUUGUAUGCUUCUCCUUGACUGAGUGUUUUACAUCUGUUCUCAUUGUAGCAGAUUGAUGAACAUCUGGCGUGGGCACUGCAGCAGGAGGAGAAUGCUUCAAAUACUUCUAGAGGAAGUCACAAUUUAUCACAUCGUGUGAGUGAGCCUCUUUGUUCUCUGUAACUGUUGAUAGCAUGAUUUGCAAAUUAAAAAUGCACUUUUGGUGACUUUCACAUAAUUAUUUCUAAAUAUUUUGAUGCAUGGUCAUGGAACACAAGAUACCCUAUCACAGAGACAUGAAUGGCUCAUUAUCCUGCUGUGCGAGAGGCUCAGGCCUCUGUUCCUAGAAUUGAAAAAAUAAAAUGGUGUAUCUUUUCUGUUCCAUGAUAUUUUCUUUUUCCUUUUGGUUCGGCCCGGGGACGUUUUACGGGGAAAGUAUGGAUGAUUAUAGAGAUUGGUUUCUAUUUAUACCAUGAGCUGUAGCUUGAUUUCGGCUUUUUAAGUGACUUGCCUAUGUCCAGAAAUAGGAAAUAGCUUGCCCUAGAAUGAAAGUCUUGUUGUCAAACCAGUCAGUUCAAGUCAGUUAGGACCAUAUAUUUUACUCAAAAAGCCAUCUUUACAGUUGAUUCGUCAAUUCAAACUGGUUGCCAUCUUUAUAGUGUCUUUUACUCCUUUAAAGCCUAAUAUUUCUCUCUUACCAUAAGCACCGAAUAAAUCAUAAAAUGAGCAUCUUCCAGGCUGGUGAAUCAUAGUUUUGCACAAAAUUUCCAUGCUAGCUCAUUAUUGUAUUCCAGGUUGAAUUUGGUACCACCUACUAAACUCACCAAUCUCAACCGUUCAUGAAUUUGUGCAUGAAGUGCCCAUUUGGGACGCGUGCAACCCUGUGCAAAGGACAAUUAAGAUUUUUUACAUUAUAGGAAUUGUAUUGUUAGACAGUGAUACAAAGAUGAGCAACAAAUUUUUCCUAACCUUUAAACAUGUUGCAUUAAUUAACCAUAUUUCUCCCUGGGCUCAAAAUAUUGUCAUAUAUUAGGAUCCUUUUACGAGUAUAUAAUAAAAAAUUUGUCUCCCUCCACAUAUGCUUUGUAAUGUUUCUCAAGAGUCUUCAAAUGACGUGCCAACACUGAGACACCUUCAAUUUGGAAUCACGCAUGCAUCUCCUAUUAACAGCUUUCAUAGCAUAAACCCUAUCUUUGUGUGUGUUUCUCAGACAUUAGUUCCAGAAGCCAACUUUUGUAGAUAUUGCAGAAGAAUUAGGUCUGUUUAAGAUGAUAAGUGUCAUGAAUGCCAUAUUAGGGAGAUCUCAAUGAUUAAAUAAAACUAAAUGCAUUGUUAUUCUGUGUGCUGUAUAUUUUGAUGCUCAUGGUCGAGGAUGUAUAUUUUGAUGCUCAUGAUCUUUAUUGAUGUUAGAUUAAUUUUUGUCAAAAUCAAUGAUUUUGUUUCUUGGCAAAUGGACAAUUGUUUCUCUAUAUAAUGAGUAUGAUUUUUGUUGUUUGUUAGCAGUAUUGUGUAUUCUUAUUUUGUUUCUUAUGUUAUGUAGAGAGGCUCAACAAUCUUGCAUUCGAAUAGACAAUCGCGGCCAGAGUCUUUUCAAAACCAUUCCAAUAGGAGAGGAACCCAGGCUCGAGUUGCUACCUCGUCUAGAAUGGCACAGUUGAGGACUCGCUUUCGCAACCAGUCUCCUAGAGUAUCAACUAGAGGAAGAAAUAUGCGAUUUCCUUUGGACAUGGAUCUAGACAUGGUAUCUCGCCCUUUUAUUUCUUUGAGCCUCUUUGAUAAAGGUUUUUUGUUUUUUGUUUUUAAAUAAAAAAAAUUAAAGAGAGAGGGAGAUAAGAAAGUUAAGAAAGAUAAGGGAGAUAAACUAUUAAGGGAGGGAAGCCAUUUGGUUGUUUUUAUUUCUGUUAUUUGCACGUGUACAAAAUUCCAUGAACCUUGGAUGGUGUCUUUGUGUAUAAGUCACUUAUUUGACAAAUGUUUUGGAAGGAAACAAACUUUAUUGCAUAUGGGAUGAGAAGGAAGAGGGAGGAAUUUUUUCAGUCCUACAUGACCCGCCCCUGCGUGUCGGCCUAUUAUCCUCACUUAUCCUGGACCAAAUUCUUGUCUAAGAUUGCUAGUCCAUUCAUUGUUGUGACACCAAAGAUGAAUUAGAUUAUUAUUCAAUUUAUUUGUGUAAUCUCAUCCUUAUACUGUUUACCAAAUGAGAAUCGAAAGUUCAAGAAAGACAUUAGAACUUAUUCCAUAGUUCAGAGGGGGCAUAUGCGAAUUUAGAAUUCUACUUUAACGUCCAGAUAUAGUUGAAUAUUUAAUCAAAGAUUACCUCUCUGUCAAGUUGCAGUCAAGACUAAGUUUUCCUUAGUUUUUUCGUAAUAAUUCUAAUUUCUGCUUUCUGAUGCAGAGACUUAAUAUAUUAGAAGCUAUCGAGGCAGCAUUUGAUGACCUUGGUGAGGUGGGACUGGAUAAUCGCAUGCUUCGAGUUCAGAGGGAUUUUAAUGAGUAAGAUUUUAGUCUAUUUAUCAGUUUAUGCCUUGCUUAUUCUCAUCUGGGGCCUGUAUCUUGUUAGAGGAAAAAAUGAUACUUAUUUUAUCCAAUGGCUUCAUACAUUCAUUAAGAGCGACUGGCAUGAUUAAUUAUAUUGUGGAUUUGGUUGCACACUCGAAGCAUAUUAUUCUUUUUAUUUUACAAAAUCUCAAUUGGGAUUCAUUUUACCUUUUGCCUCUUCAUGUCUUGCAGCAAUGACUAUGAGAUGUUGUUGGCACUUGAUGAUAAUAAUCAUCAGCAUGCUGGUGCAACAGUUCAUCAAAUUAAUAAUUUGCCACAAUCUACGGUACAGGUAGGUGAAGUAGAAGUUGAACAAAUAUAAAGACUAUAACCUGUUUGCUUUUGUGCUUCUUGUGGUGGGGCAUGUACCCAGCCAUCAGAUCCGCUUAUUUACCUGCUAUAAAAUUUUGUUUUCGGUUGCUUUGUUUGCAGAGUGAUGCCUCAGAAGAAGCCUGUGCAAUUUGUCUUGAAACUCCAACAAUUGGAGAAACAGUUCGCCAUCUUCCUUGCUUGCACAGAUUUCACAAAGAUGUAGGGACUCCCAUUCUUGAGUGGUUAGCUUUUUCCUUGCAAAUGAAGCCAUCAAAUGUCUUACUCUUUUGUUUUUGUUGGUUCCCCUCCCUCUCCCUGUCUCUUUCUCCCACUUCAUUCUCAGUGCAUUGAUCCAUGGCUCGGUAGAAGAACUUCGUGCCCAAUUUGUAAGUGUUCGAUCACGUAGUUUGCGCUGUGAUUCACUGCCCAGGCCAUCUUCUGAAAAGAGUGUCUUAAUACUGCAUGCAGUAUCAUUUUGGAAUCAUGGCAAUCUGUGAUUCAAUUUUCGUUUUUCACGUUGAAGUCGUGGUAGCAGAAAUUAAGAAUUUGUUGAAGUGGAAACAAUGUGCAUAAUUAGAUUUUCAUAUAAGAGAGCUCAAGUUUACCUGUCUAUCUUGUUUAGUUAAUUUUUUGUGGUUUCAUGUUCGGCAUAGAAUAAAGGCUGCAGGCUUUCAUUACUGUAUAGAUACGCAGUCGACUUGUGGUUCUUGGGAUGCCCUGCACAGGUGAAGGUUGGGUAGUGUCAUAUUUCUACCAGUCAAUGAAUGGAUUUUUAAAAAUACACAUGAACUUGUCAUGUGAAAUCGUCAAUUGCAUCUGUGGUCUUCCUAGGGUUUAUCUUCACCUUUUACAGCUUCCACCAAAUUGGGGUCUUUGUGCAAGAAACCAAUGUUUUACCUCAAAUGCAUUAACUUUAAAGCAGUUUUGUGUGCAAGCCUUCCAUGCAUUAACUUAUACCUCAUGGAUAUCAGUCAGAUAAUCUACACCCGUUAAGAAAUCUAGGUUUCUUCUCUCUCUUCAUGAUCCUGAUAAUCUAAAAUUAUAAUCAAUAUUAAGUUAAACUUUUUAUUAGUUAGAUUAAAGUGGCAAAACAAAAAAAGAAUAAUAGUUGAAUUGCUGAGAAUAAGUUACUUGUUCAUGUAUUGAUGCUUGCUUGUUCAGCAGAAUUUUUUUGAUGAAUUGGUGGAGGCUUCUAUCAAUAUAGAAUGACUGUAGAUAUGAUUGAAAUUCCACACAACCAUUACUUUAAAAUCGUCAGAUUUGUCCCCUAAUGGAUCAUUCAUAAUCUAAUACGUCAUGUCAAAGGCAAAUAAGUGAGUGGCCAUGCCUUCCUUAUAAGCAUAGUCUAAAAUAUCGAUAAUAUCGACGAAAUAUUGAGAAUAUUAUUGUUUUUUCGAAUAAUUGAUAUUUCGAAACGUAGCCAUGCAUAUAUCGUAUAAAUAUCGAGAAUAUCGACGUCUAUAAUUUCGCUCACACUUCGGCAAUAUUUUGUUACAAUAUCGCUAUAAUAUCGCUAAAAUAUCAAUGUGAUGAAGAAAAAAAAAGGCAAAAAAAAAAAAGGCAAAAAACACAAAGGGGAUUCAAGGUGUUUCCUCUUGUAAAAUUAGUCAUCCUUGGUUUGCUUUGUAUUGUGGCGUCCAAGUGGUAAGUUCUUUUUUCUUCUAAAUAUUGAGACAUGGACAGGCAAGGAAUGAUGUACCUUACAUUUCUUACUUUAACAAAGUUCACAAGAUGAGGACCAUGGGAGUAGGCGGGCAGGACCAGGAAUUGGUGCCAUAGGGAAGGACUAUACUCGUAGAGAAAGAGGCAAGGCGAUUUUGUCAAGUCAAGAAGAUGAUUCGUUAUCUAUAACUUCGGACUCUGUUGGAGUGGGAAGUAGUAAUUAUGAUUAUACUCAUAAUCAACCAUUUCCCUACCCUUCAUAUCCCAUUCUUUUUGGGAAGGAAUCGAGCAGCUCAUGGAAAGAAUCCGAGACUCAAUCUUCAAAUGAUUUUGCUCAUGGACAACGUCAACCAAUCUUGGAUCUAUAUGGGUGACAUGUUAACAAUUACAUGCAAAACUAUUUUGGGGGUUUAUCAUUUGAUGACUACUCUUCACAAUACACUUAUUCUACACAUAGAGAUGAUGCAGAUAGUGAAAAAUUUGAACCUCAUAGGAACUCUAUGCGGUACUAAGUCACUUAUGUAUCUUACCAUGCAAUGUAUAAAAUGUAAAAUAUUGUAGUAAAUCAUUAUAUAUAAAUGAUUGUGGUGUGUUUAAUCUUCUUUCAUUAAUUACUAUAUAAUUAACUUAAAUUAGUAAAAUCCAUCAUGCAAUGCAUUUCAUUCCAAUUUUUUGUAAUAAACUAAUAGAUAAUUGACUAAAUAAGCAUCCUCCAAAGUUACAAUAAAAAUUUCCCAUGAAGUCCCAUUUUUUUGGUCUCAAAGAUAUAAAGCUAUAACCGAAAAAAGAUAUAAAGCAAUGAAACCAAUCAAGAUUGAACAAGCAGGCAAACGAAAAAGGUACUGUUCAACUAAAUAUUUAUGUGUAAUGGAUUGUAUAAUAUAAUUCUGGUAUACAAACAUUGGAGAUCAAAACUGCCGAUCACCAAAUACAUGCUAUGAUUUUCGAUUAACCAAAAUAUUAUUGAGAGGAAUUGCAAGGAUGAACAAGGAUCUGGGGAUUCAACUACCCAAUGUAGAGAGAUGAAGCAAUCUUAUCGCAUUGCUUCACUAUGAUUUUCAGUCUCAGGACUCUCAAUCAUACAUUAUUGACACAAAUGCAAUGGGUAAGUCCUUCUACCUAGCAUCCUUGGAUAAAUGAUUGAGGGAUUCGACUUUCCGAGCAUUGCAGAGUUCAUCAGUGCUGUCCCCCCUUUCGAAAACAGCUGCUGCCCCCAUCCCUGUGCCUGCAUUUUCCAUAUAAGAUCCAUUACCAACAUUUUCAAUGGGCAGUAUCGAUGUUUGUGUGCACACAAGAGGGGGGAAAUAAAGGUUUACCUAUGCACAUAGAGAUCACUCCAAAGCGGCAGUCCUUCCCACGACGCUUCAUCUCAUGCAAUAAAGUCGCAACCGCACGCGCACCUGCAACAAUCAAAUGAGAUUUCAAUACACACCAAAAAACAGAGUAGUACAGUCAAUGCUAAGUAGAAAAUAUAAUACCUGUUGCACCAAGUGGAUGCCCAAUGGCAAGUGCACCUCCAUUCACAUUGAUCUUUUCUGGAUCAAGUCCCAACUUGUUACGGCAAUAUACAUAUUGGGAUGCAAAAGCCUGCACAGUUGAGCAUUUUCUAUGUCAUUUUAUAUUCACAGGGCUUAAAAUCAUAUGUAGAAACUUAACUGCAAUUUAAGACCUCAUUUAUCUCAAAAAGAUCAAUAUCAUCAAGCUCUAAACCAGCAGCCUUGACUGCAGCUGGAAUUGCAACAGCUGGACCAACACCCAUGAUGGCUGGAUCCACACCAACAGCAGAGAAACUCCUGCACAAUGAAGAAGAGGGCAAUAUUUAUAACAUUCAAACACUGUGUCAGAUAUUUCAGAUUAGCCCGGAGGCAACACAUUAAACAGAUGAUAACAUCAAGGAAAAUAUUGAGAAAACUUCAUUCUCUUUGCCAACUAUGAUACCACACUACAAGGUCGUAAGUACAGAGGAAUUGUAGAUCCCAUGUCAAUAGGGAAACCCCGAAAUGCUACGAUCCUUUUGAUCAUCGGCUUUCUUUUUUUGGUCCAUAGAUCCUUUUGAUUUGCUUAAAGUGAAAGAAACUUAUUCUAUUGCACAAGUUACAAAAACCGAAGUAAUAUAGUAUACCAAAGAAAAAUUGAUCGUCUGAACAUCAUGGUUCAAAGCCUUGGAGUAGAUAUUAGGAAGCAAGUUUAUAAAGCAUGCUGAUAGCAAUAAACAAAUGAACCCCAAGGUGUUCAUCAGAGGCAUGGACAAGUUUCUGGAUACUGUGGCCUACAAAAAUAAGACUUCUGAGCAUACAUGUUGAAAAACCACGGGAAUAUUGGAAUCGACAAAUCUGUAGCCCGCCAUGACAAAAUCAAUUCCCUCCUGUCAAAUAGAUGCACGACAUCAAGGAGUUGAAUACCUGAAUACACCAAGAAUUGGCAAUCCUUUUCGCUCAGCAAUACUUCUCUUCAUCAAGAGAACAGCUCCGGCACCAUCACUAACUUGACUAGAGUUACCUAAACGGAUGCACCGAAUAUGAAAUGAAAUGGAUUCAAUAAUGCGAUACUGUAUUUUAGAAAAGGAAAUGAUGCAUCAUCAGAAAAACAUACCAGCAGUGGUGCUCCCAUCUUUCUUAAACACAGGCUUCAACUUUGCCAGGUCUGCCAAUGUUGUGUUCCGAAUCCCAUCAUCAACAGAGAUUGUAACAGGUUUCUCCUCACCAGAUUUUGGGUCAACAAUCUAUUUUAAUUCAAUGAAAUCAGUAAUACAUAACAUGCCCUUGCACGUGUGCAUGCAAACAUUAUCUGCCAAAUCUACAAUCAAAUUUUUAGAUUACCUUGGUUGCCACAGGGAUGAUUUCAUCUUUAAAUUUACCAGUGGCAGUAGCAGCAGCUGCCUUCCUAUGAGAGUCGACCUACCAACAUAUAAUUAACAAAAUCACUAACAUAGACAAACCAGGGUACAAUUUAGUACCAGACUGACAGAUUAAUCCAACUUACAGCAGCUUGAUCUUGCUCCUGCCUAGAAACACCAAAGCGAUGCGCAACAUUUUCUGAGGUGACUCCCAUAGGAAGAAGGCAAUUCUGGGCCUGUUCAAAGAUCUUCACCUGACCACAGUGCAAAUUAUCGGUAGACUUUUAGAACCCUGUCAAAAAUAGCAUUUCUGCAAGAAAAUAUGUUUCUAAAAGAAAAAACAUGUGCAAGAAGAAUGUAUACUUUAGGAUUAACUGAUCCUUCCCAUGCCAUUGGAUUUGCGGUCAUGGAUUCCAACCCAGCUCCAAUUCCUAUAUGAAAUAAUCCGAGAAAAAAGGAAAUUAAAGCUAAGGAUACUUGUCUGAAGUGAACUAGUUCUGAGACGAUUUUUUUUUAAAAAAAAAUCGACAAACACUGACCAAUAUCAUAAAAUCCUGCUCUUAUAGAUGCAGCUACAUCAGCAACUGCCUGAAGCCCAGAUGAACAUUGUCUGUUCACAGUUCUAAUUGGCACAGUUUCUGCACAUUACAGCCAUCAUGUGGAUGAAUAACAAACCAUGACAUACUCAAGGAUCAUUAAAUUUUCUAGAGGAGUACAUACCAGGGAAGCCAGCAUAAAAGGCAGCCAUCCUGCAUUCACUAGCUCUUUGAGAUCCUGGAGCUAACACCGUACCCACAACAAUAUCCCCAACCUCACUUGGGUUGAGAUUGGAUUUCUCUAUAACCGCCUAUAGCAAGGCAAUCAUCGUUUGAGUGAGAAAGAAAUAGUUAUUUUUAUCAGUUGAAGAUACAAAUAGUUUAUGAGAUAGUAUAUAAAAUAAACAAACAAAGAAAAAGCUUUAGAAUUUCUUUCCACCAAACUUCACUAGAACCAAAGCAAAGCGAAAAUUACGAAACUUGUAUAACCAACCUUCAAAACAGGUGCUAGAAGAUCAUCAGCAUGAGUAUCUUUGAAGCCCCCACGUUUAGCCUUGCAAAUUGGAGUCCGAUAAGCACUGCAAGACACCAAAAUUUUAUAUAUAUUUUUAAACUCAAACUUACUAUAAAAGCACAAUUAACAAAUAUCAAAGGCUUGAUGUAAAUACACAAAAUUGAAAUGAACUGAGGAGCAUCAUUUGCAAAACGAAACAACUUACGCUACGAUGACCACAUCAUCGCCAAAGACAUUUUUCCUUGCAUAUGCAGCGCUAUCCCCAGCCACACACGCCGAUGCCUGAUACCCAAUACACCCAAUACACAAAUCUCAUUAAAAAUGAGGAAUUGAGACCAAAUAUACAAAAUUGAAACAGCCAGUGACUCGAAAAAGAGAGAAAGCAAUUGCUUUUCAGCCUUGGAGAGAUUGAAUUGAGCUCGAGUUCAAUCGAGAUCGGAUGGUUGUUAUUCAAAGCGACUGAAAGCAAAUCCUUAAAAUAUUUCAAUCAAAUGAGUAAGGAGAAGAAGGAGAGGCUUACGGAGAGAGAAGAAGGGUCGGUGCCAUGAAGAGAAGAGGAAGAAGGUCGAAGGUGGUCGAGCAGAACUCGUUGCCUGUUGAACGCUUUCUCCAUUUUGGUGUGUACGUGUGAAACCCAGAAAUUGGAAAUUGGAUGGGACGCUAAGACAAGCAAAUGAAGAGUGCGUGUGGGAUUUUAUAUAUAUAUAUAUAUAUAUAGAGAGAGAGAGAGAGAGAGAGAGAGAGAGAGAGAGAGAGAGAUAGAGUAGGCCGCCUCCGUCCUCGGGCUGGGCGGUUAGAUCUGUCUCAGACUAUCUCAGCUAAUACAAACAAAGAUGACUCAAUUUUACAAAAGGAAAAUGCUAGGGAGACCAACUUUAGAUACCAACUUGUGUACCAACUCUCUAAUAGAGUAUGGGACCCAUUGUAUUGGUGGGCUCCACCUCUAUUAGAGAGUUGGUACACAAGUUGGUAUCUAAAGUUGGUCUCCCUAGCAUUUUCCUUUACAAAAUUAUGAAAUGGAUUUUUCUUCUUUUAUCUUUUAUCUUAUCUUUUUAUAUUUUUUUAGUUUUGUUUUUCGCUCCAUGAUCAGGCGUCACCUCUCCAACUGCAAAGUAGACUUUACGCGCGCGCUUCUCUUCCACUCUCGCCUUCCUCGCGUGCUUUCUCCUUUCCAAAUUCUUUUAAUGUAUUUUUCUUAUAUCAUGUAUUUUUCUUAUUUGGGACCUUAAAAGAAUGAAUUCCAUUCAAACACAUGUUUUAUUAAAAUGGCAAACGGUUUGAACUCAUGCAAGAAAUUUUUGAUCAGACCAUGAGCCCAUGACACUGCUAUUUAUAUAAUAAAAUUACCAUUAUUAUAUGACGUAUAUAUAUAUAUUUUUAAUAUUAUAUAAUAAAAUAUAAACUUAUUGUGUUUAACAUAUUAUUACAAAGUAAGUCUAGAAUUUGCAAUUAUUCCACUAACAUCUAUGAACUGCAUUUCAGAAUUCAGGAGUAAGACUGAAAUUUGAGAAAACAAGAUAAUGAAGAGAAAAAACUACUUUCCAAAUUAAUGAUCAAAUGAGAGUAUUAAAAAAAAGGAUGAAUGGAUGAGUAACAUUUAAUUCAGAUUUUUAUGUCAUUUAUAACUAUUAGGUUAAUUGAGGAGAUAAAUUGUCCACAAUUCAUUUUGCAUUUUAGAAACUUAAGAUGAAGAUUAAAGUGAUGAGUAUAUAUAGUUUCGAAGAAAAAAUUAAUUAAUUUUGGGGAGACUUAGGAAAAGCCCAAAGGAGAGAGAAAAUUUUUAAAACAAGCAAAAAUGGACAAAAUUGCCCUUAUUAAUUUUUUAAUUUCCUAAGAAAUCCUUUACAUUUGCAUGUCUUUGGUUUGAAAGUUGAGAGGUUAUUCUGUCUUUUUUUAAAAAGCUUUGGCUUUUUCUAAAAGUGAAAGUUUUUUUUUGGGUAAAACCUAAAUUUACUUUAAUUUUGUAUGUGAAGAAGAAGAAGAAGAAGAAAUGAAGCAACUAGUACAAUACAUACAAUAGCAAACACGCGGUUUGGAGGGACGUGGUGUGUUUGGCGUGUAAUGUGAAAGCAAAGAGAGACAUAGAAAUGCGUGCCCGCUUGGCUAAAUGGAAAGAUUGCAUUCAUUAUCAUGCUUUGUUUGAUACCAAUCCUUCUACAAACAGACAGUAAUAGUCAUCCAAACACGCAGGUAGCCAAGCCCCCACCACUCCAAAAAUAUAAAACAGGAAAGAUGAUAACAUUCGCAAUCCAUUGGGUUGUGUCAAGGUAUUAAAUAAAUGGAUUGGGAUGAAUUGUUAUUUAGGUUAACCUAUUACCUCCUUUAACCCUUUUAACAGCUUAGCAUAUUUGACUAUUGAAACUUCAAAAAUUAUUUAGCAUAUUUAAUCUAUUAAAUGUUAAUAAUUUAUCAAUAAUGUUACUCAUAUAUAAUUAUAUGGAAAUUGAUUGGCUCUUCAAAAUAUGAAGGAUCAUAAUCGUGUUUUAGUGGGUUGAUAUGAAUUUUUCAUUAUUUGAGUUCCUCGAGUCAUUUUAUCGAGAAUGGCCAUAGGCAAGGUGACAGUCAUGAAUGUCUCUCUAAAUCUUUGUUUGUUAUGAAUUACUUAUUUUCUUCUUUUAUUUUAUGUGACAGAAAGAAAACUAAAAGAAAAACUUGGAGAAAGAGAGAUUACAAUGAUAAUGAUAGUGGGAAAGUUUGGAUCUCUAUGAUAAGUAUUUGAAGACAUAUAAAAUUGAGAGAAGAAGGCCGGAGAGCUCUAUGACUUUUCUUUACUUUCAAGUUUAUAACUCACACUCCAAAGCAAAGUCUACCGCUUAAUAAUGAAGUCUUUAAAAAUCCAAGAGAUUUUGAGCACCAAAAAUAGUGUAGCCCCGUGAUUUUUAUGGAUUUGUUUUUCUGAAAAAGAAGACUUUAAAACUCCUAGUUAUAAAUACCAACAGUUUCAAACAGAUUCUCCAAGAGAAGCAAAAGCAAAUAAGGGAAUAGAUUUUAAUAGCAUUCCGAAAGGGCAUGCUGAUUUACAAUCAUCCAAGCAUUCCUCCAUUACAUCUUAAGCUAAUUACAUGGAGCACAUAUAUGAUAGUGAUUGAUUUUAUCUACCCUAGACAAGACUAGGUCAAAUAUAUAAACUAUACAACAACCAAUGCGAAAAAAAACAUACAAAACCUCCCCCCACCCCAUCCUAAAAUGGCUAGCAAAACAGGACGGGCAUAACCUAACAAGGUAAGCAACUCAAAGAGAUAGAGCAAUUUACCAAUGCCGCAUGACAGCACGAAAGCGUCCAUGGACAUAUUCCGAUGCAAACUUAGGUACACUUAAAACCAUGGCAGAUUGACAAAAAUAUCACAAAGCCUAUGAGAAUGAUGAUCCCCACAACAAUCAAUUUUAUCUUCAUAUUCUGAAACCACAUCUUCCUUUUCAUUUUUGUUCCCUGUGUCCUGAAAUCUUGGGCCUACAACACAAACACACCAUUGUUUUCAACAUAUAAAAACGCCAUAUCAACAUUACAAAAGAGGAAAGGAAUAAACUAAACAUAAGUUAUGCUUCUUCGACUAACCUGGGAGCGAAGAUUAUCAGUUUUGUCCACCAACAGCUCAAUCUUCUCACCGCGGUCAAGAACCUGCAGAAUAGAUGAAUUUCCAUGACUAAAAAUGGAUGACAUAUUUACCUACUUGGAAUCAGAAUGAAAAGGAAUUGGAAUGAGAAAUUCAGAAUGGGAAUUGAGUUGUUCCUAUUAGUAAUGUUUCCUAACUUUCAGGAAUCAAAGCCACAACCACACCCUUAUUCAAAACACCGACCUUCUCAAUAUUGUCCAUCAUAACACCCUUGACCUCAGUAACCUGAGCCUUCACUUUUGCAAGCUUGUUGAUCUCUUCAGGAUGAUCCACACAGUACUUCAUGUGAUCCUUCAGUUUAGGUCUAAAACAUCCAUAUAAGUGUUAAGCAAAGCAUAUUCAUGAAGAAGAAAAAAAGGCGAACAAUAUUCAUCGCCAUGAAAAGGACAUCAUAAGAUGAAUACCCAAACUCUCUGUUCAGUCCAUUGGCAACAGCAGUUCCAGCUUUCCCACCAGCAUAUCUUUUGUUGAAAUCGUCCUUGACUCUCUCCAGAUAGGCAAUUGGAAUUUGCCUGCCAGCAGAUUCAGAUGCAACUACGCAGUAAGCUGCAGAAUCCAAAACAAAGACAUUUAAAAACCUAUCCUUACAAUUUACAAACAAGGAUUAUCAACUCAAAUUGCAGAGUUGGAAAUUGCUUCAGUCAAAUCAAAUGCACAAUGUUUUUUUUUGUUCAUAUGCAAAAUUGACUAAGAAAACUAAUACUGCAAUUAAAAAAACGCAGCCGCAAUCCAACAAUAAUCUCAUGAAUCUUAAUCACCCAAUCUUGAAUGCAUACCAUGCAACCAUAUAGUUACAAAAUAUUUGCUUUAAAAAGAAUCAACGCAAUCAGCGUUUUCAUAAUCAUAGAUACAUAUACAUAUGAUCUUCAUUCCAACAAAAGCAAAUUACAAAACGCAUGGAUCAAAGCCAACGAUAACGAACAAAUCUAAGAGAAGAAUCAGACAUUGGUAAGAAAGAUUUGAAGGGCAUGUAAAUGCAUGGGGGACUCACUGAAGCCGUUUUCGACGAGGUAAUUGAAGGUGUGGCCAUCGCAAUUGUAGGUGAACUUGUUGUUGGAGGAAGGAAGCUUCUGAAGGCAUUGAGAGGCAAUGGAGGUGAAAUUGCCGGUGAACUCUGUGUACUCGGCGAGAAUCACACUGCCUCGAGCGACGAAGCUGUAGAUCAGAGAUUGUUGCCCCAUCUCAAUUCCAAUAUAAACAAACCCUAACCCUAAUCCGAAUGGGAAUGUGAAUUUACGCAGAGAGAGAGAGAGAGAGAGAGACGUUAUGGAAGAACGAAAAUGCUGAAUUUACGCAGGGAGAAAGAGCUAUAUACUUUUUUCUUUUUCUUUCAAGUGUGUGUGUUUGUUUGUUUAUUUAUUUUUUCUUUUCUUUUCUCAUUUUUAUUUUGAAUUUAAUUUCGUGGAAUGGAAUGGAACACGAGAUGUGAUGAAGUAUUAUUUUGUGCUUUGGAAUUUCACAGUUACACGUAAAGUGUGUCAUGUAUGAAUUUCUUUAUAAAAAAAUAGAAAAAUAAAAUAAAUAAAAUAUUGUUUGAACGGAAAUGAAGGGUGCAUAGACCAAGGCGGGAAGCCCCCCAAAUAAGGCUGUCCUGCUCCUCCGCUUCUCACUGGUAGCGGUCGCAACAAAUGUCUCAACCUUCACUCAUUUGUAAAAAUAGCAAACAUUCCAUCUUCUUUUUUCUUUUUCCUUUUUAAUCUCUCUCCUUUCCUAUCCUGUUCCCAUUUUUUCAACGAGAAUAUAGAAUAUUUGCUUGGUUAUAUAUACAACGAGAAAUCACCGAACCAAACCGAUCACUAAAUGAAUUAAUUUGAUUAAAUUAACUUAAAUCAAAUAAAACUGGAUCGCACCCAUCUCUACUUUCCCUAUCAUAAUUAGGUGCAUAAUUAAAAAUGAUUUUUGCCCACAUUUAUCUUGUAAUCAAUUUGUGUGUAUUUGAUUUGACAGAUGGAUGCAACAAAGGAAACCAGAAUUUUUAGGGUCAGAAAUUAAUUAGGAGACUGCUAUCUGCUAGAGCUGAUGAGGGAGGAGUGAGGCCUAUGCCGUGAACAUUGGAAACUCAGAAAACAUGUCUCAAAUGGGAGGCAGUCAAAUCCCAGUACUUGCUAGUGUUUCAAACUUGGCUUCUAAAACUAAACCGUCCUAGAUGUAUGAGAAGGUAAUGUUUAUUCUUCUACGUCUUUCUCUUAUAGAAAUCACCAAAGUCGGAUAUUGAUGAAGUGAGACCUAAUUCAUAUGAAGAUAGAACAACAAGUGCCCUUUCUCUUCUUUUAUUAUUGUCAUCCUUUUCUCUCUCGAGUUCUUCUUGAAUGACAUCUCUUUGAUUGCGUCCAAUUUCUUCGUCACUUGAAUGCAGAUGUUGCAUGUUAUUAGCUAUGUUCAUGCAUCUAUAUACUGCAGGCAGGGCAGUUGAGUUACUCUCUUGUUGCAUUUUAUGUUCCUUUUUUCACUCUCUUGAUUACCUCUACUCACCUAGGACGUUAAAACUCCAACACUUUUCCUGCUGAAUGAAUCGAAGUAGCCAAGUUAUCAUUUUCCUAAAUGUUACUAGGAACAGAGACGACGUCCUUUUUCGAAUGUUCAAAAGAAUUUAUGAUAUGUUAAAUUAAUGGUUUUACCAAGCGUCAAUGGUUCUUCACCCACUAAGAAAGUACAGGUAAAGUAGCAAGGAGAAAAAAGAAAUGAAGGAUUGAAAAGGGUAAGCAUCUGAAGAAGAAAAACACCAAUGAACUUCCAGCAUAAUGUGCAAAUGAAAUAUUUGACCCCCUUUCCCUGGAGAGUGGGGAAGGAAAAGGAAAAGGAAAAAGAAACUUAAGUCAGGAAAUAUAGGAUUUUUGUCAAGUCUAAACAUCAGAGAUUUGUACCUUAUAUUAAUGUUGGAAAAUUUAUUUACAGAGAUUUGUAGGAAUAAUUAUCUAACACUAUAGUAGCUGUACUUAUAAUAGACUUAUAGUACAUUUGUCAUGGCACCAAGCAAUGGAUGCCACCUGAAGUUCGAAAGUUUUUUCUUCGAAUUCAACCUGAAAAUUCUUGACAUUAGUUUGUAUAACCUUAAUUUUGUUAUCAUCAUAUCUGCAUGCCUUGAUUGUUGAGGUUGACACCAUUUGGAGGAUUGAUUACUAUCCAAAGCAAAGAUAUUAUGAUUGCAAGCAGCCCUGCCCAGACAUAUACAAUAGUAGGUAUCCUUCCUCUCCUUCCCAUCAAGCCUUUCAUAAAUGGGUACAUGUGAGCCAACACCCAGAAACUGAAGAAAAGUCCUCCGAGUAGCUUAUUCCAUUGGGGUAUCACUUCGUAUAAGGUCCUUGAGAUUCCGAUGACCAUUGCAAUAAUAUUGAUGAUUAUGAUUGUCAGAGGCAUUAAGAAAAGACUUGUCCAUUUGACAACGUAUAGGUCAGCGUAAAUGUCUUCUUCGUCUUCAGCUGUAGACUUGGAGGUUAAGGUGAAGUGAAUUUCGAUACCGGCUACAACUUUGAGGAGACCCUGGAUGACAGCUACAAGGUGAGCACUUGUUCCACCAAUGAGCCAAAAUUGCUCAUUACGCCACCAUUCCUCAAGGCCAAUGCCUGACCAUCUCACUUCAAGUAGGGAGAGCAGACAGAGACAGAUAGUGAUGAUAAGGAGGUAGAUAAGGAAGGGGACACUUAGGCCUGCAACUAUGAAUUGACCUGUGAAGAGGCAGAGUGCAGGGAGGAAACAGUAAACAACCAGAAAGAUGGAUGUGAAGGGAUAAAUGCCGACGUUGAGGUAUGCAAUACGCUGUAGAAACUUGAGGCGCCGGCAUGCAAGAAAUGCAUUGUUCCUGGAGUAGAAAAUUUCCACUGAACCAGUGGCCCAUCGGAGCACCUGGUGCAAUCUGUCUGUGAGGUUGAUAGGUGCAGUGCCACGGAAUGCAUCACGCUUCGUGAUGCAAUACACUGACCGCCAACCACGAUUGUGCAUUCUGUAACCUGUCACCACAUCCUCUGUCACUGAUCCAUAGAUCCAACCUAUCCUGUCUCCCCAUUCGGUCUUGUCCUCGUACCUGUGUGUGCAAACAUUAACUAAUUAACCCAAAUGAUCACAGUGUUUCGCAAAACAAGGAAGAGUCUACAUAACUGGUCUAGAACUAGAAAAGUGCUUCUUUCAACUGGUUUAUAUGCAUAUAUAGAUUAUGUACCACUUACCAGCAGGAAAUGACAGCAACUGCUUCAGCAACAGUUGGGGCAUCGAGUGGGGGACGUGGUUCGAGCAGAGCGCCUGGAGGGCGGCCAUUCUUGACCGAGGAGUGAUCAGCAAGAGGACGUCCGUGAUACUCAGCAACGCCUAUGGAAUCAGUGAACAUUUGUGAAUUUCCAAACUUCUUGGGAAGGCCUAAGUCAGGGUGAGUCGCCAGAGGUUGUUUUUCUGAGUCGGGUAGAUCUGGAUCAGCCUCUAACUGCGCCUCAAUCUCAUGGUAAUUUGGAGCUGGGGCUUUGAUCGUCCCAAACAUUCCUAAGUACUCAUUUGCCCUUGGCGGGUGGAACCCGUACAGUGCAAAACGCCUAAACAUGCACCCAGUUCCCACAUACACUGGGCCUUGGAGACCAUCCAGGGCUCUCAUAUUUCCUGUUGUUUUACAAUUAUAUCCAAGCAGUGUCAUCACUUUCAAUUUCAGUUUAGCUAUAUAUCAAAUUCAAUUAAUUAGCCAAAGUCACGCAUGCAUGAUCAAACAUUACCAUCAAAGAAGACUGUGUUAUGAUUUGCAUAACGGUCAGAUGGAUCGAUCCCUUCAAAUCUCUGAGGGAAUUGUAUGUAGCAAAUCCUGUCUCCACCCCGGUCCAUCAUGAAGCACAUUCCUUCCCUUAUAGCCAGAGAGUUAUAGAUAUAAUGGUCACAAUCCAAGUUAAGUAUGAAGGGACCAUUAGACAAUAUUGCUGACGCUCGGACCAUGGCAUUCAUGGCUCCUGCCUUCUUGUUGUGGUCAUAUCCAGGUCGCUUCUCUCGCGAAACAUAUGCAAACAUUGGGACUCGAAUGUCCACCCCUGUGAAGUCUAAUUUUUUCUCAUCAGGAAAACCCAUUACAGCCUCCAUCUCUGGGACCUUACUCAUAACCUGCAUGUAUGUUCACAAUUAUAUUUGAGGUUCAAACUUUUAGGACUUGUUUUAGAGAUAUACAUACUUAUAUAUAGGGUAUUGUUAUAUAUCCAUCACCUGUAAGAUCCCAGCAUGGUCUCCUUUUUUGUGAUCGGCGCAAGGUUCGAGCCAUGUUCCUGGCCAAUGUGUCCCGUCAGCCAUCCACGUUGCCUUAGUAACAUUGCUUGCCUCACCAUCCGCUGGCUCCGCGCCAUCUCCACCUCCACCAAUACUUCUCUCCUUGGAAAGCUUCCUUUCAUUCACGUCCUCUCUAGAGUUAUACAUUUCACUUCGCUUGCGGAUAACAUCAGGAAGACCGUUGAUCCUAACUUUAAAUUCAUCAUAUUCUCUCUUGAUCCAACGGCGAUCCUUGACAAAAUCAGGCCGCUUCUUGUUCUUGGUGGGGUCAACUUUGCUGUUAAAGUAGCUGUCUGGAUUCCUAGGCUCAAUUUCAUGUUUUCGGCAAAAGGGUACCCAAACCUGCAGUGCAUAUGAAUGUAUGUAUGUAUAUUUGGACAAUAUAUAGCUAGAACUAAUUAACUGACAGGAAUCAAAUUAAUUCAAUUAGCAUGACUACUUAUUUAUGUUUUUCUUUUCUUCUUGUGAGGAUAGCAUGAUUAUUUUUGGGAUAAGAAAUAUACUUGCAUGACAAGUUUCAUGUCAUUAUUUAAUUUUUUACCACCACUAAUGAAAUUGCAAUAUUGAACCAACCUCAGCAAAGUUAACAGCCUCGGCCAUGGCCUCAAAUGUGAGAAUGGCACCACCAUCAUCUGAAAUGUAGCAUGAAAGCUUUUCCACGGGAUAUUGAGCGGCAAGGACGGAAAGAAUUGUAUUGGCAGUGACAAGAGGUGGUUCCUUCUCAGCGUCGGCAGUGGAGAUGAAGACAUCAACACCGGGAAGGUCAGAGCGCCCAGUAGGGUUGGUGGGAGAAGGUUGCUCAAACUUGUCACGUAGAGCAUCCAAGUCCGUGGCACGAUUUAUGGGGUUCUGCUUGGGAAGAAUGUCUAAAAUCCAUGAGAAUGCAAACCAAAUCUCACAAACUAUGGACAUGCCCCAUAGCCACAUUGCAUCAGGGUUUGGAUUCUGGACUCGCCAUAGUAGGAAAAGGAACAGUACUAUCAAACGGAUGACCACAAGUAACCUGCAUAGAUGUACAAAUUAAAUAUGCUGGACCUGCUAAUGCCUUGGCUCCUCAUGUAAAUGAUUGUUUCUUCUCUUAGUUGGUGGGAAGGCAUUCUGUCUCUCAUUUUAUUGUUUCUUUCUGUAGUCAGAUCUUUUGGGUAUACGCAAUUAUUACAAAGCCAUAUUUGAGGAGGGAAUCAUAAACGAAACCUGGGAUGCUCUUAACUACUUGAGCUACAAUUUCGUUACUUUCUUAUCUUAUUUUUAAUCCCCUUGACUUUGUAUUUUUGAUAGAUUUAAUAGAGAACAAAUGCACAUAAACGUAUUUAUAUUCAUUAAUUAAUGGACACAAUAAUUGAAUUGUUUGUAAAGGAGCUGGUUAUUGAUGAAGCAGGUAGGUACCUGUAAGGGCUAAGAAUAGCAGGGGGGAUUUUAACCUUCCUGGUGAGUGGCUUCCAUGGUUUGUCAAUAAAAUCCUGCAUGCUCAUUUCGACUUCCGGUCCAUACUUGUUCUCUUGCUUCUCUGACCAAUAUGCGUUUCCAAUGCCAUACGUUCCUUUGGUCUCAAACAACCAACGAUUAUGAUCAAAGUCCCCAGUUUGGCUUCUCAACAGUAUUGAUUUGUUAUUAGAUGAGUUCAUCACUGACAUUCUCCUAUCCGCCUUUGCAGCUUCACUAUCAGCCCCACCAUCAUCGUCGCCCCCUCGCCUAGACUCUGCUCCAAACCGUGAUGGCCCAUAUGGCCCCGGACCAUCAGUUUUUGAAUCCGAGGCCGUUCCUGCACCUGAUGACCCUGCCAUUGGCUGGUUGUCCGGUGUAGGGGGCAUCAUCACGGUGUAAUUGAUGUAGUCAUUUUCGCCCGAGAAUUCCCCGCUCAUGUCCAAAUCGUCGUCCCGAGACAAGCUCAUCACACGCCCACUGGACGUGCGGCGAGCAAAUUUGACCCCCUGCGGUGGACGGCCUGCAGAUGAGGGUGAGGACGACAUUGUUUUCUUUGAUGAGUUUGAUGAAGUUGCCAUAUCUGUGCCGUUGAUGUUGUGAUGCUUUUCCGAUUGUAUUUUAGCUACAAGACCCAAAUGAUCACAUUUAACAAUAACGGAUUACUUGCGGCGCACGUAAAAAUAACAAGUAGGGAAUAAUUCCAUGUGGGGGAGACGGAGGCGAGAAGAUGAAAUGGAAGUGGAAAGUAUGGAGAAGGAAUUGGAUAUGUUGAAUCACUGGUUGAAGGAAAGGCCAAAUAUGGUUGAUAAGUUGAAUGGUCCGCAAUUUGCUUCUGUUUUUAGCGUUUUUCCCUGCACCGGAUGUCACUCCCUUGUUUCAAUCUCAAUCUCAUAGUUUAUCAAUACGCGUACACGUUUAAGUUUUAACAAUGUUCUUUUUUAAAUUCACCUUUUAGUUGUACAUCGACCUGUCAGGAAACUCGUAAGUUGAAUUCCCCAUCACUAAUAUUGCUUGUAUAAAAAAUAAGGUCAAAACUAUAAAGAAACAAUCCCACAAAUUAAAAUUUUGAAAGACUCCCUGCAGUUCUCACCAAGUCCGCUAACCACGUUUUUAUCACAAAACAUCCCUGAGUAGUUGGGAAAAAAAAAAAACACUAAUAUCAUCGAUGGCCAUGAAUAGUUAGAUUUUAGUGUAAUUUAUUUUGGGGACAUUUGUCUCAAAUAUCAUCGAUGCAAUGGUAAAGGUUAUUUGUGCCCACAAUACAUUACCAAUAAAAAAACACAAAUCUUAACAUACAAAGUAGUAAAACAUACAUAAGAACAAACCAUUACUAGUCUAUCUCUGGGAAUGUUUGAAAACUAGCCAAGUUUUGGACAACAAUUUCAUAGGACACACCAAAAGAAAAGACUGAAGCGCCUACAAGAGGAUGAGAAAUGGCAAGGCAACGCUACUCCCACUACCUCCUGUGAAUUCCUUCACUCUUUGGGCCUAAGCUCAAUGCCUUCCACAAUGAGGCCGGUCUUACAGUUGUAGUUACUAGUUUCCAUUAGACUACACACUACAGUAGCAUUAUCUUCUUCGGUGACAAACUCACCCAUCUCAAUCUCAAACCACCCAUCGCCUCUGUAUCGAGCAUGCGGAGGAGCUGUACCUUCAUAAUUUACAGGGUCUAGGAUCACACUAUGCUCAACCGCAACUGCGCUAUGUUCAUAAGCGACACGCAAUGUAACAGGAGUUGCUGCAGUCCCUAGAUUGUGUUGUGAUGAGAGCUGAUAGACAAAAUAAGCUGCAUAGGUUGUUCUUGGGGACAAGUUUUUAGUCUCUAUGUAUCCCUUGAUGUCAAGCCACCAUACAUAAUUGAGCUUAGCCACUUGGGAAAACCUGUCAUGUGAUUCACAUAUAACAUAUUAUUUCUGAUGCAGGGUUUUUUUGGUCAUAAAGUAUCCAAUUCCAAUAAAAGAUUACUUAUCCUACAACUCAGGUAUGAAUUAGCAUCACUCAAAAAUAUAAUUGAAGUGAUAUUUAGUAAGAUAAUGGUGGAGAGAGAGAAAGAGAAUAGAAUACCUAGACUCUGGCAGAGAUAUCCACCGCCAAUAUCCGGGUGUAUCUCCCCAUAUAACUGAAAGCCCUCUUGCCCCUACCAUAUAACAUUUUUUGCCACUCUGCUUUUCUAGUGCCAUGCUCUGUGUCAGAAAAAAAGAAGCUUGGACGAUUCGAUGAUCUUGUCAUCCAUUAUUCAUAAUUAAAGUAAAUACUGUUAACAUUUUGCACAACACUCCCAUUGAUAUCAUGGAUCAUCAUCAGUCUUUUCAUGAAUUAUCUAAAAUUGUCAAACAAAAUUUCUUUUUGCUUAAAUAAAUAAAAUAGCAAAUUUAGUAAAGCAUAUCAAAGAAUGGGAUUUCUACUACAUAAAUUGCAAAAAUCUCCCAGUAUCUAAAACCUAUUAAAUCUUAGAAUCCAAUGGAAAUGGGUUGAUUCUUGAAGGAAAAGUGAUAAAUCAUAUAAAUUUAGGAAAAAAAAAAUUGAAUGAAUGGGGUUUGAGUUAAUUACCAUGUUACCAUUGCCUAUGAUGAUGGGGUGAUUGCAAAGAUGAAAGUAGAGAUCCUUCUUGGACAAGGAGUUCAAAGAAGUGGAAAUGAUUUCCUUAUAAUCCUGGGGCAGAAAUCUCUCCCACACUAUAUCAGAAUCCGCAGCAAUUCUAAAGAGGGAAGAGACAAGCGAUGAUCUGCACGCAUCCAGAGGGGUUGUGCAGGAAACGAUGUGGGAGAUACAUUCUGCAGGCAACAUGCUGAUGAUACUCAUCUCUGCUUCUGCUUUUGCUUCCUUCAUUUUCUUAUGUCGAUCGUCUCUCUUUCCUCCCUUUUCCUCAUCAGCUCAUAGAGUUGAGCACAAUUCCAAGUCAAGUCAACCCACUUAACCGACAAAAACCAUUUUUUAUAUAUUUAUUUUAAUUUUAAUCAACGGGAAGGGACCGAGGGAAAUUCUCAAUCUGCUCUAGCAUUGGGGAUAUGGCGACACAUGUAACUCAAACAUUGGGGGUGAAUACGCCCUUUUUUUUUUUUUUUUAUAACUUGUCAAUGGGGUCUUUAUUCAUGCCCUUUUUGUUUUGUUUUGGAGAUAACUUGUCAAUGGGGUCGUUAAUAAAAAAUAAAUAAUAAAUAAACUUGCCAAUGAGGUCUGGCGUGAUUUUUUAUAAUAAAAAAAUAGUUAAAGUUUACCCAAAGCUUUUAUAAAUGUUUUGGUCCUCCCGAUUACUUUGGCAGCUAUUGUUGGUUUGAAUUUUUUAUAUAUUUUGUGAGAUGCCGUUAUAUAUAAAAUUCUAGCUUCAGCACUGAUUGACUGUUUUGAUGUCAAACUAAAGGGCUCAAACAUUUGUUGGAUACAAAUGAAGCGCAAUUGGGGACAAAAUUGGCAAACUAGAGGGGGCUUCCAAGGCCAAAAUUUGUCAUUUAAAGUGACUACUAGUGAUAAAAGGAUAACAAACUCUUUUAAUGUUGCAUCUGCCACAUGGCGGCCAAAAAUAUGAAGGGAGAAAUUUUUACGAAAUAAUAGUGUAGUCAUAAGUUAAGCACUUGACAAUAAAAUUGGAUGAGCAACGAAGAUUAUUUUGAACGAACGUUAAGUGAAAUGCAGAGUCUCAGUUAAGAUCAAUGCCUUCCACAAUGAUGCCUCUCUUACAGAAACUACUAGUUUCCAUUAAACUACACACUACAGUAGCAUUAUCUUCUUCAGUGACGAACUCACCCAUCUCAAUCUCAAUCCACCCAUCAAGUCUGUAUCGAGCUUGAGGACCAACUCUACCUUCAAAAGUUAGAGGGUAUGGUGUCACACUACGGCGGCCUCCAUAAGAUAGAGGGUCUAGGAUCAGACUACGCUCAACCGCAACUGCGCUUUUUUCAUAAGCGACGCGCGAUGUAAUAGGAAUUUUUCGUGUCCACGUAACGUGUUCUGAUGUGAGCAGAUAGACAAAAUACGCUGCAUAGGUUGUUCUCGGGGACAAGUUUUUAGUCUCUAUGUAUCCCUUGAUGUCAAGCCAGGAUAUAUAAUUGAGCUUAGACACUUGGGAAAACCUGUGAUGUCAAGCCAGCAUCAAAAUGUCAAUACAAUAUUCUAUGACCAUAAACUCCACUCAGUAAUAGUAUCAUGUCAGGGAUUAAAGGUAAGCCAUAGCCACUUUACUUUCUCAUAACCAUGCUUAUGUAUAUCAUGAGAGAGAAGAAAUUGUAUAUCAUGGGGAUAUCACUCUUCUGCUAUCCCUAUCCAAUCAUGUUCCGCAAUGUGAAAAAGUUAUUAUGCGUGACAAAAUAUGAUUGGUUGGGGAUAGCAAAACAGUACUACUAUCCCCUAGAUAUACAAGUUUUUCUCAUUCUGACAACAUUUUAUAUGUCAAACCCCACAAACUCACUAUAAAGGCAAAAAAAUCACACCUUCACAAGGUAAAUCACGAAAAAAAUAGAAGUGAUAUUUAGUAAGAUAUUGGUGGAGACUGGAGAGAGAAUACCUAGACUUUGCCAACAUUUUGGUGUAUCUUCCAAUACAACUGUAAGCUCUCUUGGCCCUACCAUAUAACUCUUUUUGCCACUCUGCUUUUGUAAUGCCGUGAUCUGUGUCAAAGAAAAAGAAGCUAGGAUGUUGUCGUUCAUUAUUCAUAAUUAACGUAAGUAAUACUGUUAAUAUUUUGCACAACACAGGUAGCCAUUGAUAUCAUGGAUCAGUCUUUUCACGAAUUAACCUAGCUAUUCAUGCCACACAGUAACCUAGCUACUAUCUAACACCAAAUGAUGACCCAAGAGAAUCAAGAAAUUUAGAAAAAUGAAUUAAUGGGGUUUGAGUUAAUUACCAUGUUACCAUUGCCUGUGAUGAUGCUGUGUUUGCAAAGAUGAAAGUAGAGAUCCUUCUUGGACAAGGAGUUGGAAGAAGUGGAAAUGAUUUCCUUAUAAUCUUGGUCUUGGGGAAGAAAUCUCUCCCACACGAUAUCAGAAUCCGCAGCAAUUUGAAAGAGGGAAGAGACCAGGCAUGAUCUGCACGCAUCCAGAGGGGUUGUACAGGAAACGAUGUGGGAGAUGCACUCUGCAGGCAACGUGCUGAUGAAAUCCAUCUCUGCUUCUGCUUCCUUCCUUUUCUUAUGUCGUCGAUCGAUCCAAAUCUCUUCCCUUCCUCUUCCUGGUGAUGUUCCCUUCAUAUCACAUAUCAUACAAACUCAACUUACUAUACUAGCUAGGAGAUAGUCAUCCUCACGCCCUUGCUAUUACAAUAGACAUCCAACAAGCCAUUAACCAAUCAACCACAAUAAAGCCCGCAACUUUGUGUAUUGUAUUAUGACUCGCUCUAAUUCGCUGUAUGGAAACUGUAAAGAAAAAAUAUGCAAAGGUAAACUCUUUUUAUAGGUUGUGAAACCCUAAAAAUGAACGGGCCUGUAAAUGGAUUACAUUUGGAUUGGAUCGAUCAUUUUAUAUAGACUUCUAUAAAAUCAUGAUUGAAUGCACCUAAAUUUUUAAACUUCUUUAAAAUCUUUGAAGAUCUAAAUUGAAUACACCCAUUAAGGAUAUUUUUUUGAGAAGGAGAAAUUCAUUCAUAAAACCACAGACGUACAAAGAGCGACAUGAUACAGUGGCCUCGUUAAAACCUUCUUAGGACAUCCUCAAGUGACAAAUCCCAAGGGAGGAAAGAGUACCACACAUGUCAUGGACUAACAUGAGAGUCCAAUUCAGGUCACUUUGGACCAUUACAAUAAAAGAACAAGUCAAAAACAAAACCUAACACAAAUACCUCCGACGAGAACCGCAAUUAGAGACCAACACAAUAGACCCACAUGAGAGGACUGUAGAAACCCCAAAUAGUAAACCCACAGGAGAGGACUGCAGAACAUCCCAAUUGUCAAAAGAAGCCUUAUAGGAGCAAAAUCAUAGUCCUUUGACACCCAUAUAAACUGUAAGUCAUACUAUAGCAGAAACCAGGAGAGAACACGGAGGACGAACAUAGAAACAACAGUAAAAAGACCCAUGAGAAGCACUCCACUUCAACUCAAAACCUGACAAAGAAAACCUCCUAUGACCAAUCAUAGUUCUUCAGUCGGCGCAGAGUAAAGACGAGCACCACAUCCCAACAACUACCACCAGCAUCGCUGCAGCCGCCGCCGUUAAAACAGAGACAAAACAUCAGCCACUAGGUAUCACAACUCUCCCAAGGAGAGACACAAUCCAACGUCACUACUGUCGUUGCCGCCGAAACAAAGACAACACUAGUUACCUAGAACACUGCAAAAACAACCAAAUAAAAUAAACAGACAAAACAGACCUAGAUCCAAAUAUAUCUAGAUUAUCUGGGGAGGGGAAGGGGAGUAGAAGAGGGGAUAAGAGGAAGGGAAAAUAGGGGAGAAAAGGAAAGGGAGAUGGGGAGAGGAAGGGGAACAUGGGCAGAGGGGAAGAGGGGCAGUGGCCACCUCCCUCCCCCUUAGCUUCCUCGCAGUUGGUUGUCAACAAGGAGAAAGGGAAUUAGAGUGCGGCUAUGGCAACUUCCCACCCAUUAUCAUAUUUGACUAAACAAAUUGGGAUAAGAUUAUUAUCGCAUUUAUUUAAGAUUUUUUUUUUUCCUUUUUUGAGUACAAGCAAUAGUCUAAACUAAAUAGAGGGGAGGGAGUUUUCUCAUACACGAUGCCAUGAGAAUUCGAACUUGAGACCUCACAAAUCAAUGCCAUUUUUCACUGGACUAGACCCCAUUAGCGCAUUUAUUUAAGACGUAGAAAAGAUUAAAAUCUCAUUAGUAACUUCAUUCUUUUAUUUUAUUUUAUUUAUGUUUCAUUCUUUUAGAAAAGAAAAGAUCACACUCUGCUCAAUAUUUUAUUUAUGUUUCAUUCUUUUAGAAAAGAAAAGAUCACACUCUGCUCAACCGCAACUGCGCCAUGUUCUUCAUAAGCAAGACAAAGUGUAAUAGGAAUUGUUGCAAUUUCUUGAUCGUAGUCUGAUGAGAGCUGAUAGACAAAAUAAGCUGCAUAUAGGUUGUUCUGUGAUUCGAUUCAUUCACAUAUAUAUAUAUAUAUAUAUAUAACUUAUAUACACAUCAAAAUGUCAAUGCAUUCAAUCUUUGAAUCAUGCUAGCUUCUUCUGAGGACACUAUAAGUAUCCAAUGAAAGAUUAAUUAUAUCCUACACCUACAACUCAUGUAUGAAUUAGCAUCACUGAAAAUACAUAAUGGAUAUUGUGGUAGAGAUAUCCAUUUCCAAUAUGUCCAACUGCAAGCCUGUUGCCCCUACCAUAUAACAUAUUUUGCCACUUUGCUUUUCUAGUACUGCCAUGAUCUGUUCUGUGUCAAAGAAAAGAAGCCUAGCCAUUGAUAUCAUAUCAUCAGUCUUUUCAGAGUCUCUGUUAACCGAUUAAGGUAAUGAAUAGUUAGAUUUUAGUGUAAAGUCCUUCGUGGAAUCGUGGGCAUUUCUCUCAAAUAUUAUCUAUGCAAUGGUUAACGUUUAUUUGUGCCCUAGCCACAAUAGAUGCUACAUACAUAUUUAUACCCACUAAUAUAUUAUAUAAAAGAAACCAUAGCUACUACUUCAUCUCUUGGAACUGUCUGAGAUCUAGCAAAGUUUUAGACAAUAAUUUCAAAGGGCACAAUCAAAGAUGGAAGCUUACUAGAGGAUGAUAAAUGGCAAGGCAACGUUACUCCCACUCGUUUAUAAAGCUUUCUUCCCCUCCUGUGACUUGUUCAUGGAAUCAAUCCUUCAUUGCUUGGGCCUAAGCUCAAUGCCUUCUACAAUGAGGCCGCUCUUACAGAAACUACUAAUUUCCAUUAGACUAAAUAGCACAGUAGCAUUAUCUUCUUCAGUGAUGAACUCACCCAUCUCAAUCUCAAUCCACCCAUUGCCUCUGUAUCGAGCUUGCGGAGGAGCUAUACCUUCAUGAGUUAUAGGAUCUAGGAUCACACUACGCUCAUCUGCUGUGCCUUGUUCAUAAGCAACACGGAACCUAAAAGGAGUUGUUGCAGUCCGUGGAUUGUGUUCUGAUGAGAGCUGAUAGACAAAAUAAGCUGCAUAGGCUGUUCGUGGGGACAAAUUUUUAGUCUCUAUGUACCCCUUGAUCUCAAGCCACCACACAUAAUUGAGCUCAGCCACUUGGGCAAACCUGUGAUGCGAUUCAUUCACAUAUAAAUAUGCAUCGCAAUGCAACGUAGUAAUAGUAAUCAUGUCAGGGUUUAAAGGUAGCCAUAUCCACUUUACUUUCUCUGAACCAUGCUUCUCUUCUGAGGACACUAUAUAUAUCAAACCCCACAAACUCACUAUGAAGGCAACAACAUCACACCUUUGCAAGGUAAUUCAUACUUAAUCAAAAUCGCAAUGAUAUUACAUAUUCUUUCUGAUGCAGGGCCUUUUUUUGUCACAAUCUACAUUAAGCAUAUUCUUUCUUAUGCAGGGUUUGAAUUAGCAUCACUCAAAAAUAUAAUUGAAUUGAUAAAUAGUAAGAUAAUGGUGGAGAGAGAGAAUAGAAUACCUAGACUCUGGUAGAGAUAUCCAUUGCCAAUAUGGGGGUGUAUCUCCCCAUAUAACUGUAAGCUCUCUUGCCCCUACCAUAUAGCAUUUUUUGCCACUCUGCUUUUCUAGUGCCAUGCUCUGUGUCAAAGAAAAGAAGAUAGGAAGGAUGUUGCUUGUCAUCCAUGGUUCCCAAUCAUAGUAUAAUAGUACACCAUUAAUAUUUAGCCAUUGAUAUCAUCAGUCAAACUUAGCUAUUCAUGCCACCCAGUGACACUAAUCCCCAUAGACAGAAAAUCAAGCUUGUUGAUGUUCAAAUUUCUUUUUUAUUUUUGUAAAUAAAAUAGCAAAUUUAGUAAAGCAUCUCCAACAAUGAGUUUUCUAUUACAUAUAAUUGCAAAAAUCAAAAGUUUAAAAUAAUUCAAAAAGUUUUUUUUUUCUUCUCUUAAAUCAAACAUCUUUCCUAGUAUCUAAAACCUAUUAAAUCUUAGAAUCCAAUGGCAAUGGGUGAUGAUGACCCAAAAGAGUUCUUGAUUCUUUAAGGAAAGGUAAUAAAUCAUAGAAAUUUAGAAAAAAAAUGAAUGAAUGGGGUUUGAGUUAAUUACCAUGUUACCAUUUCCUAUGAUGAUAGGGUGAUUGCAAAGAUGAAAGUAGAGAUCCUUCUUGGACAAGGAGUUCAAAGAACUGGAAAUGAUCUCCUUAUAAUCCUGGGGCAGAAAUCUCUCCCACACAAUAUCAGAAUCCGCAGCAAUUCGAAAGAGAUGAGAGACCAGCGAUGAUCUGCACGCGUCCAGAGGGGUUGUGCAGGAAACGAUGUGGGAGAUACACUCUGCAGGCAACACGCUGAUGAUAUUCAUCUCUGCUUCUGCUUCCUUCAUUUUCUUAUGUCGAUCGUCUCUCUUUCCUCCCUCUUCCCCAUAUUCUCUUGAUAUCUCAGAUCAUUUGUUGCUUUCAGAUGUGUAGGUCCCUUCAUAGUGCAGUGAAUAUUCUUUGACGCAAGCAGCGGCGGAUUCAGAAAUUUUUUAACGGAGGUGCAAAAUUAAUUAAGUAUGAAAAAUAGUUUUUUGGAAUAAUCAUUUUCUCAAGAUAAUUUUUGGCGGUUUUUAUUCCUUAUACAUCAAAUAAGAAAAUUUGAUUUUAUGGGAUUUUAGUACGAAGUAUAUAUUGGCUUAAUUAGCCAUCAUUUUUAGCAUAAAUCGUAUUUUGUACUAAAACUGAUUUUUCAUAUUUUGAUUUGGUAGGAAUUUGAUUUUCUAGUAUUUUAUUUGAAUCCAAAUGAGGGGUACUUUCUUAUUUACAUUGUAAACUUAAGUAAAUAGAAUAAUAUAAAAAUAAAUUAAAGUAAAAGGACAAAGACAUUUACUUAAAUAUUGAAAAUGGAAAUAAAGUAAUCUGUACACCAGUUGAGCAAAGUGGUAGUUUGAAGCACCUACAAUGAUUUUUUGGGCGAAGGGAGAUGCAGCUGCACCUCCUUGCACCUUAAUGGAUCUGCUUCUGGCCGCAAGUUUAGAAAUUUUGGAGAGACAAUUUUAACUUGUAUGAAACGAAAAUAACAUUAUUUUAAUAUUUCUGAUUAACAAUGCUAUGACAUGCGUGAUAACCUUUUCACAUGAUAUGGCAUUAAUGGUCUUUUUUUUUUCCUAAUUAAUGGUUGGAAAUAACAAAAUAAUAUUAUCCUCAUUGUAGGGCCAAGUAUGAAGACAACUAGGAAAACUACCCCCAAUGACGAAUCAUUUAAUGAUUUGAGCAUUGCAAGGAAUAAACAUAAGAGAGACGUUAGAAGACCUUUCAAAUUUCAAGAUGAGUGUAUUUAAUGGCAUGUUCUCUAAUUCGUAAUCAAAAUUAAAAUAAGGAGUUGAAUUCUGAUCACAGAUUACUCGUGUGUUACUUCACAUAAAGAAAUGUAAUUACAAGUAGGGCUCACACUAAAUUAGGUUGGGGUGUGCAAGAUCCAAUCCAAUUUGCUCAAGCCGAUCAAUCCAAUUCAAUCCAAUCCAAUUUUAAUCAGUUUCGGUGAUUUGGCGAAUUGGAUUGGAUCCUUAAUUUUCAAAAUCGACAUGAUUGGAUCGGAUGAUGGAUUUGCUUGUGAGAAUCUAAUCCAAUCUAGUUAGUUCAUGCUUCUUUUGCUUAUAAUUCAAAAAGUUAUGAACAUUUUAAGUCAUUUAAUGGAGUUUUAUGCUUAAUAUUCCAUAGAAUCAAAACAUUUUCACUAGCAUUACAUUUAUAUUUUACUUUUAAGUCUAUUAAAAUGUUUGAUUAGAUUAAACAUAAUAAUAAAUGUUUUAUAUUUCAUUAUUCUCUUUUUUAAUUAUGAAAACCAAUCAUCCAAUCCAAUAUCAAUUCGAUCAGAUUGGAUUGAAAAAAUCCAUAAUCCAAUCUACUUCGAAUUGAAUGCGGACUGGAUAAAUUACAUUGAUUUCAAACCAGUGUACAAAAUAAAUUGAGAAAAUGUAAAUUGUAAUGAAGGGUAUUUUGAAAUAUAAAAAGUACAAUAAAUCAUAUUUUAUUAGGUCACAUACUGAAUUGGAUCCUUUUCAUAAGGUGUUACUUAUAAAAAUCUUAUUAGGCCUCAGCUCAAUACAUUUCACAAAGAGGCCGCUCUUAGGAUUACUAGUUUCCAUCAUGCUACACUCUAGAGUGGCAUUAUGCCCUUCAUUGAAGAAGUGACCCAUCUCAAUCUCCAUCCACCCAUCUCCUCGGUCUCAAGCUCCUGGAGGCAUACCUUGUGGGGAGUCGAAGAUCACACUGUGCACACUCAUAACUACACCUUGAUCAUAAUUGACGCGCAUGAUGAUCGGUGCUCUUUCAAACCCGCUUUUGGAUUCCGGGAGCCGAUAGACUGGGUAAGCUGCGUAGGUUGUUCCCGGGGACAAAAUUUGAGUGGCUAUGCAUGCCUUGAUGUCAAGAAAGAAACCAUGAAAGUUUGGGCUCAGCCACUUGGGAAAACCUGUGAUGUAGUUCACAUAUGAAGCAAAAUCUCAAGGGGCUAUAACAACAACAUUGUUGAGACUUGAGAGUGAUAGAAGUGGUGGUGCGUCUCAAAUGGAAAUACCACCACUCACUCACUUUUUUUGUUUUUAUUUUCUUUCUCCCUGGAAGCACCAACUACUACCACGCAGUCAUUGCCAUAUAAAAGAUACAAUCUUUUUUUUUAUUUUCUUUUUUUGCCGUUAAAUAAUUUAAAUCAAUAUUUCGAAAUUUUGAUUGGGCAAUUUACAGUGAUCCUAAAAUAUUAUGGCUUAACUUCUGAAGGAAAUUUUGGGCAACUGUCCAUUCCAUUAUGAUUAAGGAAUUUUCACCCACAUGUAUUACAAUCGCAAUUGGCUCUGCAAAUAGUUAUAUAAAGAUUAUCUUUGCAAAACAAUCCAACUGGAGAUUUUAUUUUAUUUUAUUAAUCAAAAAUAAAUUUCAUUAGAUUAACUUCAGCAUAUUUUCUAUCAAAUAAUUAUAAAUAGAUAUUUGAAUUGAGCUAUAUUAAUUAUUGAAAUGUGAAGUUUUAUGGCAUGUUGAGCUUUAGGAUGGUUUCGUAUUCUAGAAAAUUAUUUAACUAUGGAGCAAGUUGUGGAUUUGUUGGUUGUAAUUAGGCUAACAAUGUUGAAAAAUACAAAAGGAAAAAGAAUUGGAUUUAGGCCCAAACUGGCCGAACCAAACCAUCUUAACUUGAUUUGGUUUGGUUCGUUUCUUCAUUAAUUUUAUUAAUUAAACUGUUAUAUUGUAAUUUAUUCAGUUAUAAUUUUAAAGUAAAACCGAUCCAAUCCAAACCGUACUCACCUUUAGUCUGAAUUGAACUAAGACGUUAUCAUGAGAGUUUUAAUUGUUACGCAAACUUUUGAUUUUAAAGAUCAUCAAUAUUUAUUUUAUUUUGAUUUUUUUAUAGGGUUAUCUUAAUUUUCUCAAUAUUUUAAAAAUAAAAGAAUAAAACAGAAGGAAAAAACAAAAACAAAAAAGCAAAUUGGCACACACGCAUUUAAGUGGUAUUUUUAUUUUUAUUUUUUAAUGAAAAAGACGUUGUGCAUAGAGGCCGGCCCUCUUAAAUAAAAUCCAAAGGAAAUGACCCUGGGCCUGAGCCGGCCCGGCCAAUAUUCCGCUUCUCAGUCCACCAAUCUUGGUAGGUUUUGAGCAGUCAUGGGGUUUGCCUUGACCAGCCCUUGUCCUGUUCUCUACAGCCACCCACAACAACAAUUCAUAACUCAACCAUUCCCAUCGACCCCGGCUCACCACCACUACCACCACCAAACACAUCGCAUCAAACCAUAAACCCUACCUGAUGGCCGAUUCACCUUCUAAAACCCUGGAACACCAAGCUCCAACGCAGGCCUCAAAUACCGAAUCAGAUUCCAAACCCGUAGACGAAGAGAAGCCCCAGGAAGCUGAAGGGAAUCCACAGAACGCGUCUAAAGAAGAAGAGGAAGCGGAGGACGAUGAGGAGGAGCCCGGUGAAUGUGGGUUCUGCUUGUUUAUGAAAGGCGGUGGCUGCAAAGAGAGCUUCACAGCUUGGGAACAGUGCAUUGAAGAGUCUGAGAAGAACAAGGAGGACAUUGUUGAGAAAUGCUUUGAGGUCACUUCGGCUUUGAAGAAGUGUAUGGAGGCUCAUCCCGAUUACUACCAGCCCAUAUUGCAGGCUGAGAAGGCCGCUGAGGCAGAGGCUGUCAAGGAAUUGGAGAAGGAAAAGGCUGCUGAGAGCUCCAAGGAUCAAAAUGCCGCCGCUUCGGAGCAGCAUUCGGAUUCCAGUGGCGAGAAAGAUGCAUAGCCGGUUAGGUGCUUGUUGAUUUGUCUCUGUCAACUGGAAAAGAAAAACUAUAUGAUUUUGUACCUUUUCACACACCUAAUUGGUAAGCAUGGUCAGUCGUCGAGAUUUUUGGAAAUUAUUUUAGUUGCGGAUAUGAUUAGUGGAAAUUCAGAGACUUGAAGAUCAAAAGUGUUUGAAAACUUGUAAUUUCUGUGAUCACAAUAAUUUUACUUGGAUAAAACCAAUAACAAUCACUAUUUUUGAAUUUAUAACUGACUCUGUUUGUGAAUCAAUUAGUUGCUGUCGAGUUUCUGGGUUUUUGUUUCCAAUGCAAUGCUUUGUGUUUGUCUGUCUGUUUGAAAUUUUGUUACAUGUAUUUGCUAUGUGGUGGUGACAUGAUCACAUUUGCACAUGAAUAGUGUGUCUUAUAUUUGAUUAGUCAUUCAAGUUGAUGUGAUGGAAUCAUCUUCUAUCUGAUUAUUGCUGAUCUUAAGGCCUCUAGCUGGAGUUUAGAGUUGAUGAGCUAUACGACAUGUAUAGUAGCAAGUAAAACUGCGAUUAGUCGUUGCGAUGCGAUCAAUUAGAGGUUUUGUGACUACCAUGUAAUGCACCUACAUAUUCAGUUAGUUAUCAGAUGGUUCCCCAAGUUGUAGGCUUUUGAGAUAUAUACUGUAAUAUAAUGAAGAGCUGUGUCUUUAAAAAAAAGUUUAUCAUAACUGAGUAGUUAGAUUUGAACAUGGACAAUAGGUACCUUGAAACAGUUUAUGCAGGGGUGGUUCACAUCAAUUGCAUUUUGAUAAUUACCUACUGUUUUACAAUCUUUUUGAGCACCUAGAAAGGUUCAACAUUGUGGUAACAUUUUCCCUUCUAUCUGUCAUGGUACCUGAAGAUUGCGACAAUUUUGGCGGGGUUCAACACCUCAAGUAUUGUUCUCUGGUCUAAUAUAUCUCCAUCUAUAAAUUGUGUAUCUGAAUUAUGAAUCUGGUUAGUUUAGAUGCUGGACUUUGGAUCAACUUUUCGUAGGGUCAUUGGUUCAAUUUGGAUGGUACUGUGCUUUAACAUGAAUGUGAUCUGUGCGUUGGUUUUGAGUGCCGAGGUUGGUAAGACAAAUUUGGUGCUGCACUGGAAACGCUUAUAAUUUCAUUUGAAGUUGAUCUGAAAGACAAAAUUGUUGCUGCACUUGAUUCAUAGCAUGUGGAUUUGUUACAUGUAGCAAGCUUGAUCUGAAAGAUCUAGUUUUCUGGUACACUUGUCCAUGUCUGCCUUUUGCCUAGAAGACCAGCAUGGCAUCUUAACAUGCUAAGAGUUCUUCCCAGAUUACUUUGUAAUCACUUAUUUCCAGCCUCACAUUUAGUGUGAGAUUUUUUUCACCUUGUACUGGCAUUACGAAAUUUCCAUUUUAUCGACAAGCAUGGUGAUAGUUUCGUGAAAAAUUGACCUAUUCCCACAUACAUGUAAAUAUAUGUAAAAAAUACCCAUAUAAUGAAUUAACUACACGGAGGGUUUGGAUGAAAACUAAAACAAAACUGAAACACACAUAAGAACUUAAGAAGCUUUUAAAAAACUAAGUGUGAGAUCAAGAUUAUUUUUAUUUAUAAAGAGAAUAUAGCACCAUUCUAUUGUAUAUAAUCAAUUAGACCCUUUUUUAAUAUAAUAAAUAUUUAUGUGCUAAAAAAUGAAAUCAAAAGCAAACGUCUCCCACACACACCCACAUACAAUUGAGAUAUCUAAGGCGUAACUGUAAUGUCAAUUCUCGACGAAUAAUUUCCCUUGGCCUGUAGCGAUAAAUUUACCAAAUUGGACAUUUACAUUUGUAUUUCGUCCACAUCGUCCUUCACGGGUUUAUUGUCGAGGGUGUUGUUCACAGAUUUUCUUCUCCGAGGUUUUGGUUUUUACUUUCUUGGGUUUUACUGUCGGUAAGGGAGAUGAUUUUUCCCGUGGACAAUAUCCAAGAAGUGGUGCGGUGGUAUAUCACUUCAAAGUACUGUUCUUUUGAAAAGGUAUAUCACUUGUCUCUCCAUUAUGUUUAUUUCUCUUGAAUUGCUCUUUGGUUUUGUAAUUGUGCUUGAGUUUGUUCUCAAUUUGAUUUUCGUUUCUUCUCACCAAUAUCAAGUUAUGUUUUCUUUCCUUUCUCUUGUUUUAGGUGUUGGGUUGGUAAUAAACAGGUUAUUUAUUUAUUUAUUUUCUCUUCUCCUCCAUUGUUGGGGGGCUUAAAGUCAUUUGGAUUUUCUUACUUGAUGCUGCUUUUAGUUUUAAUUUUCUGAUUUUAUUUUUCUGAUGUAGGGUGAUGAUUUCUGUUGGUGGCAUUGCGGCUUCCGUGUGCAGACCCUAAGGGAUGUUCAGAAUUCCUCUUCUUUCUUCUCUUUUUUUAUUGUUUCCCCUUAAGUUGUUUAGGCGCGAGUCUUUUUUAAAACCACGUAUUUGUUCAUGUCUCUCAUGCUUGGGUUUUGGAUAGUAUUGGUUGUUUCAAUGCUAUUUUUUGUACACUCUUAUAGUGCACCUUAACUAAGGCAAUAUACAAAAUUUUAGAAAUUAAGUUCCAAUGUAGGUUGAUCAGCAUAUUAAUUUUGUAUACAAAUGCAACGUAACAAAUGAGCGCUAAAGAAUCAUUAAAUGCAUUGUUCAAUUUUACAAACGUUAUUUGGUAAGAUUUAUAAUCCAAAAAAAGAAAUAAACAUUGUACUCCUUUUUUUGACGGAUUUAAACAUCGUACACUUGACUAAAACAAUCAAAUCAUGAACCUUGGACUAUGUGAUGACGAAGAUGAGGAUGAUAGUCGCAUGAGGGAGUAAAUGAAGAAAAAAAUAUAAGGUGAUAAUUUGUUAAGUUUAUCACAGGGUAGUUUUUUUGUAAUAUGGUUUUCCAUUCUACUUUGAUGUUUAAAAUAAAACUAAUUUUCAUAUCCUAUUUCCUGCUUACAACAGUGGCUGUUUUGCAAAGUAGAGUUGAGCCAGUUUUUAUUACAGUCUGAGUAUUUGCAAUGGUUAAGAUCAAUGUAGUUUUAUUGAAUAAAUUUGAACUAAAAUAGUAAAAUACUUGUAAUGGUGUGAUUUAGUUCUUCGCAAUAGAGGGUGCUAUGUGAUGAACCCUCUAUUGAAUUGCAAUAGGCUAACUGUGGGGCCCACAUGCUAAUAAACUGUACAAUUGCAAGUAAAACUGCAGUUCAAUUCAAUAGAUAUCAAAAUAGUUCAAUAAAUUAAAUUAUUACAUUGAAUUAUUGAACAAUCAUAAUAUGAAAAAUGCACAAUAUGUGAUUUUCUCACAAUCAAAUUUUAUUGUAGCUGUAAAUUAUCGUUAAUUGAGAAAGAAAUUAGAAAAACAACUUGUCAUUUAAUGAGGUAUGUGAUAUCUUGAAGGAGGAGCAGACACAUGCUAAAUAAUUGAAACCAAAUCCUAGGAAGAAAAACAUUUCCACUAACCAAUCCAGUACCACUAAAGACAACCAACAUAAUCUGCUAAAUCAUCGAAGGCCAUUCACCAUAUAAAUUGACUGCAACACUUGAAGGAAAAAAGAUGUCUCAAAACAAUGAGCAACGAUGUAGCUAUGCUAGUGCUAACAAAAACAAAGCAAGCGAAACCUUAAAAGAAAACAAUAAGCGGUGCUUAGAUAUGAGUCCAUUUUCAUUAGAACGUAAUGGAUGCUACCAAGGAUUUGGGGUGAGCCAGAUGAUUCGUUGCCUUAAUAAAUUUAUACCAGUAUAGAUAUCGUGUCUUAUAUCCAUAUUCUGCACAUCAAUAGUGUCAACGUUGAUGGUGUCAUUCAAUUCAUGGCAUUUCUUGUUAAGACAAAUACCUUGUCUAUCCAUGAAAUUUUAACAACAUGAGGAGUCGAGGAGGUUGUAUUGGUUUAUGUCGAGCAUGUCUGCAACUCUAGUCUAAUUGCAAACUAAUUAGAACACUGGUGUUUUGAGGAUUCCUAAUCUUAUAUGGAUUAAAACAUCCUAUCAUAAUACAAUCAUAAUUAUUUGAGUGUUUCUUGAUGGAUAAAACACUUAAGUAAGUGCAUAUAUAUAGAGGUAUUUUCCCUAGCAAUCAAUACACUCAUACGUAAAUCUCACUCCAUUUAGAGAGAGAGAUAGAGAGAGAGAGAGAGAGAGAGAGAGAGAGCACUUAAAGACUACAUAGGAGAAGAAGAUCCUUAUUUCCACCAUUCAAUCAUGUCAGAUCAAGGUUAGUAUUAGAGAUCAAAGACUUGAUAAAACUUACAUAUGGUAUCAUAGCACUAGGUCUUGUUUUUUAAUCUAACUUUUCGAUUUUACAAGAUAUGCAUAAAGUUUAUUUGAUCAUUAGUCAUGAAGCACGUAGUAUAAAACAAUUGCAUAUCUUAUGUGAUAAGGUAUAAUCUAGAGCAUAAAUCAUUUUCUGCUCGAUCAUACUUGAAAGGCUUUUGAUCAAAGAAUGAAAAUUACAAUUGCAUAAGUUAAGCGAGUCACAAUAGCUUAAACUGUUACAGAGGCAGUUUUUAAUUGAUGAAUUAGUCAAGAUUUGUAUCACAGUUCAUAGCCCUUUAUACAACUAUUGAUCCACAGAUGAGAGGGGUGGAAAUUGAUAAAUAACUGUGAUGGAAUAACAUGAAGAAAAUGUUUGGAUAGAUUAACAGGGAACCUCUUGAUCCACAAAUGAGAGGUUACUUGUACAGGAAGUUUAUUCAAACCUUAAUAAUUCACUACUUUUGAAUAUGUUUGACUCAUAAUCCACAAAUGUGGGUUAAUAACAUUUAAGUAAAGAUCUACGAGGAUAUUUUUUUCUUGUUUGUUUUGUGUUUAUCAAUUUACAGUGAAUACCUUAAACUAUCAAUCUAUUGAAACAUUGACUGGAUCGAUUAAAUGCCAAUGACGCAUAUUGAGAAUCAGAUGUCUCAAAAGUAGACAUUUCCUUUAUGAAUCGCUUCAAAUAAUACUUGAGGCUUUCACCGGCCUUUUGCGUUGUGCUGAGUAAUGUUGUAAUGUCCUUUUUUCUCUUUUGAUAUUGCACACAUAUUGAGAUUUGAAAGAUUUGCAAAGCUCGGUGAAGCUGCCAGUGGACUUUGGCUUCAACUGCCUGAACCACGUCAAUGUCGACCCCGACAAACAUGACGGACAUAGUUUGCACAACAACCUUUCGUCUUCACUUUCGAGGACCAUCUGUUGAUGAAAGUGAUAAAAAUGCUCGAUGGGAUCAAUUAUGCCUUUGAAUAAUUUAAACUUGGGCUAUGCAAACUUUGUGGGCUUCUUAGUCUUCAGAAUAUCAUCGGUGAAUGGCGAUUUGCAGAUCCCAUUUGCAGCUUCCAAGGUCAACUCGGCAUGUGUCUGCGAUUUGUAUCCUUUCACAAUCUUCUCGAUCUGGCUUCGCAGCUCACUGUCUUUGAACUUUUUCAGUUCCCUCAUAUGGUCAUGGUUGUCUUCAUGGUCGUUGCGCUGAUCAUCGGAGUGGAUACUCCAUAUAACACUAUCAUUUCCUUCAUUUUGCUUCUCUUGGGGCCUUCCUGAUUCAACAUUUAAUUGCCCUUGGAUUUCUCUAAAGCUUCAACUGCCAUCUUCUUUGUUUCACGCAACUCCUUCAGUAUCUUCUUAAGCCGGAUAUAUGCGAGACUAGGUUCUCCUUUCUAUAAGUUUGGUCUGACAUCUUCAGAUCGAUGAUUAGAUAAGGUUGAAGCAUCUUGUGCGGCUCAAACCAUUGAUUGAUUUUGUCAGAGUUCUCACAAAUGAUGACAAUUAUUGGAGCAGAAAUUCUUACAAUAAGAAUAUCUUCCACAAGUUCUCGGCUUUUCUUUGCAUGUAGGAUAAUUCAAUGAAAUCUCCAAGCAACACUCAUCCGAAAUCAAAUGAGAGAGAUGUAGGGUAACUCCAAAAGUUACUCUAACGCUCAAGUCAGUUUUACGCAUUUGAGUGCACAAGUUAAUCCGAAAUCACAUACCUCGAUCUGGAUGUGAAACCUCACUUUUAUACCUGGCGACAACCUUGGGAUGCAAGUUCCACUUUGCACAGUAUAUGCAUCUUGACCUUUUUCAAGUCACUAAGAGUUAUGGGGGAUCAACUCUCAACCACGUUUGUCUUGUUCCGCAAUUCAUGAUGUCAUGGAAGGAUGUGCAAUUGAAUGGACCGUCGACGGAGUCGCAUUAGGUUGAUCCCACGUCAAAUGAUAUUCGUCUAAUCUUGUGGGUUGUGACGCAUCCCAACCUAUGUUGUUGGGUUGUGCACAUUGGAACCCAAGUAGUUGACUUGUACACAUCAGAACCCAUAUUGUUAGGUUAUGCACGCAAAAACACAAGAAAACAGAAAGGACGGAACUAAACAUCCGCCUAAGAACUAAAAGCACAAUUGACAAGAAUGAACAAACCGCAAAGAUGACCUAUUUUUAUCAAAUCUACUUACCAUCAUAACUAGUUGAACAUGCAUAGUUGAUUGAACAGGUUACAUGUAGGUGGUUGAACAUGUUGAACAGACACAAGUAGUUGAACAAGUUGCACAAGCAUAGGUGGAAUAGGGAUAUGAAUAAGCACAUAGUCAUUUUGCAUUACAGAAAUAUAUUUUCACAUACUUACUUACCAAAUGUAUAUAUAUUACACAUAAGCAAAUCUAUUUACCAUAAAUGAUUGAACAUCCAUUAGGGUUGAACAUGCAUAGGCGAUUGAAUAGGUUUCACAUGUAUAGGUGAUUGAACAGGUUUGCACAUACACAAGUGGUUGAACAUGCAUAUGUGAUUGAAUAGGUUGCACAUGCAUAGGCAGUUAAACAGGUUGCACAUAUAUAGGUGAUUGAAUAUGAAUAGGUAAUUGAACAGGUUGCACAUGCAUAUGUGGUUGAAUAGGUUGCACAGACACAUGUGAUUGAACAAGUUGCACAAACACAUGUGAUUGAACAAGUUGCACAAACAUAGCCGACAUAGUGAUAUACAUAAGCACAUGGUCAUUCUGCAUUAACAGAAAUACUUAUUCACAUACUUACUUACCAAAUGCAUAUGUAUUACAUAGAAACAAACCUACUUAUCAUUAUAGUUGGUGGCACAUGUAUAGCCACAAGUGCUUGCACAUCAUGAUGAUGCAUUAUGAAAGAAAGUUGAGUAAAUGUGUCUAAAUUACCUUGAUUAUCGUGCUCGACUUUCAAACGCAAACUUCAACUAGAAACAAACUCAUUUUGUACAAACGCAUAUAACUAACACUUAUGAAUAAAGAAUAUGUUUCAAAAGAAGAAAAAGCACAAAGUGAGCGCGGAAGGACCUGAAAAACAUAGAGUGGUCCUGCAAGAAGAAAGGUCACUUGAGUUUUCCGCUAGUUUCUUUGAUCCCACUCGGUGUUCCUUUUCCAUUUGCUUUCUGCUGAGGUUGCUUCUGACGGGCUUGUGACCAACUCGGUAAAAACCCCUAGUGAAAACUAGGAAACCCACCUCUUCUUCACCGGGAUGAGAAGCGCAUCAGACUCUGCAUCUUCAUCUCUAUCCAUUUCCCGCAUUUUGUACACACUUAUUUUCUAAAUUGGCAUAUAACCAACCAUUUUGAAUUAGAAACUCAUUUCAUAAAAACUCAUUUUAUACAUGAAAUAUAACUAACCUUUCAGAAUUAGAAACCAUAAACCCUAAGCACUCAAGUUAGUUUAUAUAUGUAUUUGAGUGCACAAGUUAAUUCAAAAUCAAAUAUAUCGAUUUGGAUGUGAAGCCUCACUUUUAUACAUGGCGACAACAUUAGGAUACAAGCUCUACUUUGCAUGUCAUAUGCCCAUCUUCACAUUUUUCAGGUCAUUGAGAGUUAUGCGAGAUCAACUCUCAACCAUAUUUAUCUUGUUCCGUAAUUCAUGCGAUCAUGGAUAUACGCAAUUGAAUGGACUGUCGGAGGAGUCGCAUUAGGUUGAUCCCACAUUAGAUGAUGUUCGUCUAAUUCCAUGGGUCGUGACGCAUCCAAACGUAUGUUGUUAGGUUAUGCACAUAUGAACCUAAGUUUUUAGGUUGUGCACAUCAAAACCCAUGUUGUUGGGUUGUGCACGUCUAAAUACAUGUUGGGUUGUGCACAUAUGAACCUAUGUUUUUGGGUUGUGUGCAUCUAAACCCAUGUUGUUGGGUGGUGUACAUCCGAAUCCGCAUUAAGUUAAUGUACAUCCGAACAUGCGUUGGGUAGUAUAAAUCCGAACUUGUGUUUAGUUAAUGCACAUCCCCCGCAUCGGUUGCACCUAAAUCUCAUCCCACAAUGUGGUGGAAUCGAUACCGAAUUUAUUUGCUUCUACAUCCACCACCGUACAAAAUUCAAGCAUUCAAGAUAAUCGCAAAAGUUUUCUCAUUUCCUUUACAUUGAAAGAUUUUACAACCCACAAAAGAGCAAAGACAAACCAAUAUUAGAGUUACAGAAACUCAAAAUCCCAAAAAAUAUGAAAUUAAAGCCAAACAAACCAACAGUAGCAUACAAUACAUAAACAUGUUUCUCAACUAAGGAUGGCAACGGGUCGGGUAGGGGUCGGGUAUGACAAUACCAUCCCCAUCCCUGCUCUCCAUCCCCGCCACCAUCCCCGAACCCAUCCCCGUUUAUUAGGUUUCGGGAAUUCCCCGUCCCCGUCUCCGUCAGGGGACUAUCCCCCAUACCCUCCCCGAAUCUCCGAUUUUUUUGCAUACAAAAAUAUUUAUCAUACAUUUUAACAUUAACUUUCAUAUUAAAUUAUCAUUCAACACAUCCAAAUUAACUAUAAAGUUAAACUCAACUAUUCAAAAUCACAUCAAUAUGAAAUUCCAUAGAAAAUUAGGAAGAAUUAGGAUAGGGAAGUUAACUUAGGGUUAAACAUAAAUAUUAUAAUUAUUUAAAUAUAAACAUAUAUAUUUUCGGGUCGGGGUUCGGGGAUGAGGACGCCAAUACCAUCCCCUCCCCAUACCCGUCAGGGAUUUUUCAAGUUCGGGGAUCCCGUACCCGAUACUCAUUUAGCCCAGAAAUCUCCCCUCGUUAGGGUCGGGGACCCGCCCCUACGGGGAUUUUUGCCAUCCCUAAUUCCACCCCUAGGCUAUUCUAUUUAAAAUUCAAAAGUGUAUAAUUUUUAGGAAUUUUUGCGUUGUGCUUAGGGAUGGCAACGGGUCGGGUAGGGGCCGGUUAUGACAAUACCAUCCCCAUCUCUGCUCUCCAUCCCCGCCCCCGUCCCCGAACCCAUCCCCGUUUAUUAGGUUUCGGGGAAUCCCCGCCCCCGUCCCCGUCGGGGGACUAUCCCCCAUGCCCGCCCCGAAUCUUUGAUUUUUUUGCAUACAAAAAUAUUUAUCUCCCCUCGUUAGGGUUGGGGACCCGACGGGGAUCAGCCCCUACGGGGAUUUUUGCCAUCCCUAAUUGUGCUAUACUAUAAAUCCCUUGCUUCAUCAAGCCACCCCAUUACAAAAGCUUUCAAACCCUAGAGCAUUUCGAAAAUUGAACUUCAGUUCAAGAAAGAACAUACUGCACAUCAGAAAAAGAAGAAUAUAAGAAUACAGUCCACAGGAUUAUCACAUUUUUUUAAAUAAAAAAAUCUCUAGGGAUGCUAUAAGCACAUUUUAAUCUGGGGUAUCUGAAGAAGUGGAAAAGUCCCGCAGAUUCCAAUAUCCCAGCUUAUAGCAUGCAGUUUGCAGCGGACAUGCCACGGUAGAGAAUGUCUUCAAAACACUCUUCAGUUUCCUUUAAAAAAAACUCAUUUUCCCAGAACGAAAUGGAAGAAAAUGACUUAGUGCCCCCUCUUCAGAACAGAGAGAAAAAAGUGCUGAUUUCGAGCCGUAUGAACACUACGUUGUAUUUCCCACUGCGUGCCCCUGGAAAAGGAUGGAAAAGAAAAUCAAAACCAUAAGAAGUAAUCUUUUCUUAUCAAAUUUUCAUCCUAAGUAGAUUACAGUUAUCAAUAACUAGAAGAAUACAGUAAUGUCUUUCCAAUUCAGUGACUCUCAAUACUGCAUCUUGCUCACAACAUCAAGGAACUGAUGAAAUAAUAAAAAACAGAUCACACAUCACAGGGUGUACAAGUAAUCUCUUCUCCAAUAUUUAUCCUUGAUGUGAAAAGGAUGAAAGCGUAAAUUGGACAAGAGAGGCCAUGAGUGAUUCUUUUUUUUUCUUAAAGUUUAAAAUAAAUUUAAAAUUUAAAAUUAACUAAAGGCAAGACAGGAGAGCUCUGAAAGAAGAAAUUAGGUACAUUAGGUUGAUGAGCAAAAAUUUAGAUGUGAAUCAAAUCUACUUCUGAAAGACCAAUUUUCGACUGGAUAAUGAAAUUUUCAGAAAUUUAAUGUGCAAACAACAUUUUUUUUUUCAAUCAAUUCAAGUCACUUACAAACACAAACACUGAGCUUUUCAUGAGUUCAGCUAUUUGCCUACAUCCACAAGCGCACCCAUUGACCAGACGGACCUAAACAAGUCCAUUAAAGUACAACCCCAACAGCCAGUUUUACUCAUGGCUUCAUUGCCAGCCUACUAUAAUCUCACUUUUAACAAGUCAUUCAUUCUAACAAGCUAUGGUCUUAAGAUUUACAACUUCUCCAAAACUGAACUAAAAAAUAAGCUAUAUGAGUAAGUCAUUAUGUGUGCAAACUGUCUCAUUUACGUAGUUAAUGUCCAAUCAAGCACAAACAGUCGAAACAGAACAAAGAACAGAAAAGAAGAGAACUGAGCAUACCUCAAUGCUGUUAUCCAUUGCCUUCUAUAGGACGAAAGCACAAUGGCUCUAUAUGUAAGUCAUUCAAAUUUUGGCAUUUUGAUCUACCGCUGCCACAUCACAGUCAACCAAAUAGUGUGUGGUUGCUCACCUCAAAAUAGACACACUGAAGGGUGGUCUGAUUGUUUCUUUUUUCUUCUUUAUGAUUUGCUACCUACCCAACCUAAGGGCAUCUUCAUUCAUUCAGAAACCCCAACCUGAAAUGGUUGAUCUCCAAAAUAUCUUUUUCAGUUAAGAAAAUUAUGCUAUUUCAGUCUCCUAACCCUACCCUAGUACACGGUGACUACCUAAAGAACUCCAAUAACCUGACUAUGUGUUGACAUCAUCCUGUCUUAGCUAACAAAUUCAUUUGGCGAAGAUUCCAUUGAGAUAACAGAUUCAGUAUACUUUUGUGCAGACAAUACAAAACUUUAUGGCAUGUCAAGUGACACUGACAUGAAGGAGUAACCUCUCGAUCUGUCUACUCUAUAUACUUAGUCAGCAUGGCUUUUUAGAUUUCUUUUCAAAUGCUUAAUAUCACUAAGAGAGAAAAUCUGAAAAGUUUCCAACUGACCACCCAAAUUCUAAUUGUUAAAAUUGUAGAAAGUGAUUCCUCUUGGUUUGGGGGAGUGGGGGAGGAUUUUUUGCAUCUAAACAAAAAUAAUGGACAUUAUCUAAUGAGGACUUAAGUUGAAGACUUAUGUUCUCAUUCAAAUGCCUCCCGACACACACACAUUUAUACCAUAUACAGACUGGAUCAGGAGCAGAUGUCUUCAGUCCACACUUGAACCGUGGUCUUGUUGAUGAGAUCAAUUUUAGAAAAUAACAUAUACAUAUAAUUAUACCUGUGGUUCUUUCUGCAGUUUGCUCAAUAUAGUAUCCAAGUCUGUGUGCAUUCUUAAGCCAUCUGAAGGUAGUUUCUUUAUCAAGUGUAGUAUUGCUGAGGCAGCUUGUUCCUGAAUGCAAACAAAGGGAUUAAAAUCAGUCAGUUCUAGCUGUUUGCCUGCCAGCAAAUAACUAAUGGGGCAUUUCAAAAUAUAAAAAGGAGGAAGAAAGUGUGGAUGGAUUUCAAUGUUCAAGAACCAAAUGAGUAACAGAAGAUAAAAAAAAAAAAAGGCAGAUUGCAGGAAGAUUUUAAAAAAGAAAUACUUGAUCAAGAUUUUUAUUUUUAUUUUGAAUAUUAAACUAUCUCCUCUUCCAACAAGUAAACCUGCGCUGCUUGUCAAUACACAAUGGAAGACUGCUCUGAAUGGAUAAUGUUGAGACAGAAACGAAAAGAUUCAUACUUUGCUUAGUAUGAUGACCAAAAGUGCAAAGAUACAGUAUCAUAAUUGCAAAUACUUUGGACUAUUAUAACUAUAAAAUAUAACUGUACUAUUAACAUGUCAAAAUUAAUAAUGAAAAAGAGAUGAGUGUUACUGGCAAAGAAUAAGAGAGAGAGAGAGAGAGAGAGAGAGAGAGAGAGAGAGAGAGAGAGAGAGAGGAGUGUUACUGGAAAAAAAUAUAUAGAUCAAAGGAUCCUUUCUCAAACACAAAUUAAUCCUAUUUAAACUGCAAUCCUAACGAUACAUAAAAGCAUGUCUACCUCUGAAAAAAUCAACACAUAAUCACCAAAUGCCUAAAAUAUAGCCAUCUACGAAAAAGGAAACCAUCAUUAAUCCAUCCCCUGUCACCAUAACUUCUAAACCAUCAUCUUUAAAGGUUUUAAGCUCAGGAAAAAAUAAUUACCAGGAUGGGAGCUUAACAGAAAAUAAAAAAUAAAAAAUAAAAAAUCACAGAGGAACUUUGCCUAUAAAAAAUGAUUAGAGAGAUAUAGCAAUGAGGUUACACAAUCAUGAUGACUGUAUGGAAAAAAUAUUUGAUAAAAAAUAACUGAGAAUGUAAUUAAUCACCAAAUAGCAUAACACAUAGUAAAUUCAUAACCCAGACCUUUACUCUUGGAAUUGAAUGUCGGUCAAGUGCAGUAACCAGUGCAGGCACAAUCCUCAAAUGAUGGAGGAUUUGCAUUGCCUCUAUUAGGGUUAUAGGCAGUUGCAUAAAAUUAAAAGCUGCACAACAAACUCGAGAAUGGGGAUCUUGGAAUGAUUUCAAAAUAACGCUCGUAACUUGUUCCAAACAAUUUUUCAUCAGUACCUGCAGUAAAGGAAUGGGUUGAGAGACACUGAAGAUCUAAGGAUCAUAUACAAUCAUGAAAUAGUAGGUACUGGAUACUAAUUAAAUACUAAGUUAACACAAAUUUGUGAAUAGUUCAGACUGUCAGGAGGUAAUCUAGCUUUAUCAUUAACAAACCUUAAACCCCAGAGUCUCAGGCCAGAUGUGCAAAAAGGAUACAAGAGAUACAAGUAAAACAGAAAAUGUAUAUGGUGUAUACAACAUUCCUUUAUUUUUUAUUGAUACCUACACAAAAUAUUUAUUGACUGAUUGAACCAUAUCGAAAAUAAGCAGGUUAUACUUGGUAAACCAACUACCAUUUUCCUUAAUCAUUAUACUUAGAGAAGGUGCAAUACAGUAUCAUAUAAAUAUUCCCAAAUAUCAGUUAAUAGUAUGUAAACAAAAUUCAUGCAAAAAACCAGGCACAAAGCUAUUACCAUUUCGCCGGAGCACUCCUUUGCAAUCACUGCAAGCAUAUUAAUUCCUGCGUGACGCUUCUUCCAAUCGGAAGCAUCCAUGUACUCCAAGAACAACUCAAAAGCAAUGGGGGUCAUUGUCUUUUCACCUAAGGCAGUUGAAAUUUUUGUCAGGUAUGCAAUUCCAAGAUCUGUCUUCCCGACAUUCGCACCCUGGUCACUUUCCUUGUUGUAACAUGCAUUGUCAUCAUUUAUACAGAGAAGCAGUUUCAUUGGGACUGUGAGCAGCCUAACCAAAGUCUGAUAUGGUAACCCCCUCAUCGUAAGUGCCAAAUCGCUUGCUUCUGCUAUGGUUAGCAAGAAUUUGUGAACAAACACUUUGGUUCCCUCUGUCACUUGUUCACUCUCUGCUAUCUUAAGCAUGUCAAGUACUAGUUCAUUAAGGUAUGGCUUCAAGAGUUGUGGCUCUUCCAUUACCAACAUUAUUAACUCUUUGAGAGCCCCUCGAGCAUAGUCUUCUUUCAAGCGACUUAACAAAUUAAACAGUCCAACCAUCAUCCCUCUCAAAAGGUCAUGAAACCAAUUCCGCCCUGAUGAAUUCGAAAACAAAUGAAUCAAACUAACCACAGCACUAAAUGUGGCGACCUGAAUAUCAGCAUUUUCCGAAUUCAAUGCACUUAAAAAAGCCAAGUGUAUAGGUUCAAUGCUGGGAGCUAAAGCUUUACAAGCAACCGGCCGGUACACUUUUGGCAAAAAAGCAAGCACCCACAAAGCAGAAAGUUGAAACCUUUCAGAAUCCGACUGAAAAGACUUCAACAAAAACUCAAUGAAUUCUGGCCAUUCAUUGCCAACCCCAGAAAUCUCUGAUGCCAUUUCAGAUGCAAUGGCACAGAGUAUCCUCAAACUGGGCAAUGAACACUCUUCUUGAAGAGAAACAAGAAAGUUGUUCUUCAUGUUAAUUUGAGCAUUCAAAGACAACUUAGGCCAAAGGUCACAAAGCACAAAACGAAGAACCAGGGCUGACCUGGCACGAAUGUCAGCAGAAGGGCCUUGCCUAAUCACAUAGAAGAGCUUUAUGAAUAACAAAUCUGGGAAGUGCUUUCUGCAACAAUGGAGAAGACUAUAGGCUUGAGAUCGUUGGGGUUCCUGGGGGCUGAAGAGAUGAGAGAAGAGGGUCUCCAUGGGAUGCACAUCUUUGGAACUUAGAACGCCGUAGGCUUGUGUUUGCAAUUGCACAGAAAAUUCCGAGUCCAUCGUUCUUCACUUUUUUGGGUUUUCAAAAAUCGUCAUAUCAAAUGUGGGUUUGGCGGAGAAAUCAAUCAGAAAAGCAGAAUCGGCUACAAGUUGGCCAUUG
RNAcentral lists this long non-coding RNA (80743 nucleotides) under Prunus persica (peach). RNAcentral describes it as "long non-coding RNA (PPER_LNC000016)". The record is from RNAcentral. Lineage: Eukaryota; Viridiplantae; Streptophyta; Magnoliopsida; Rosales; Rosaceae.